RNAcentral lists this long non-coding RNA (45480 nucleotides) under Hordeum vulgare. RNAcentral's name for it is "long non-coding RNA (HVUL_LNC002169)". Lineage: Eukaryota; Viridiplantae; Streptophyta; Magnoliopsida; Poales; Poaceae. The record is from RNAcentral.
UAGACUAUUUCUGCAUCACUCCAUCCAGCAGGCCGUGACGAUUUCUGGAGCCACGAUCGACCACGCCGUGAUACCAUGUAAUCUUCCCUUGGGCAGGAGCCACGACGUGCUAAUCCCCGACGUUUUUCUUCUCCUAAUUCGUCUCCCAACCCUGCAGAUCCCGCUCUCCGCCCCGGCGGCGGCGCAGCAGUUGCUCGAGGAUCAUUCGUCGUGCCCUUUUGUUACUCCAUGAAAGGUUCGUUGUUUCUGCCUCUCUUUUAUAUGGUGAUUCUUGGAGAUUUUCCUUCCUCUCUGUUUCUCAUGAACAGGCUACUCCCUAUUUCAUAGUCACGCUCACGCCCUAUUUCAUAGUCACGCUCACGCAUAAACUCGGCUAGCUUGUUCAUGGAUCCGUGGCUGUAUUCUUGUCCGAUUGUAGAUUUGACAUGCUAGUUUGUUUGAUUUUAAUCUGGCGCUAUGGUGUUUAUUCGUUAUAUCGCUACAUGUUUGUCCGCCGCGAUUCAAGCCACCAGACUUUGGUGUGCACCAAUACAUGUUUUAGAAAAUCGGAUAGAAUUUGUUGACUUCCGAUACAACAUGAACCUGUAAUUUGAUGAAAGUUUAAUCCCGUAUUUAACCAGAUAAAUAAAGGCUAAUAAAAGCAAUUCUAGCUGUGAAUAGUUCCUUUUUUUUGUGUGUGUUAUUCAUCCCGCUCAUUUUCGCUGUCAACACUACAAUUAUAAUUUGGAUAGGAGUAUUAGUUUUGGUGCAAUGAUAAAUACACAUUGUAUUUGUGAGCUGUUUCAGAAACAUGUGUUUUUUAGAAGAGAAACAUGUUUUUGUUCAAAACGAGGAUGCGCACAAUACAGUCAUACUCUUUCCUGGGACGAUAAAGCCUUUGAUGUAAAUUCGUACCCGGGUUCAUGUUGUGUACACAAAUAGUUAUAAUAUGAUCUGUUGUUUUUCGAGACAAAGACAUCAGGUUUUUUUAGGGGGAAACGCUAGGCAUCGGUCGGCUGAUCGGUAAUGUCCGGCACCAAUGUGUCUUCCUCGCCCGCACCUCCUGCUCUGUGUCGUCCUCUCUCAACACACCCGCAUGACUGCUUCUCCCGCUCGCAACAUCUGCGCACCUCUGCCAGCUUGGCUCACAGCGAUGCCGUCCCUUGCAGCAUCACCAACCAUCAUCUCGCAGCGGCACUUGUCAUGCUCUAGAAGCUUAGGAUCAACACAUCCCUCUUGCAUCACCGUGUUUCUCUGUUGCACAAUCGGUGGCAUCUCCGUGCCCGCCCUGCGGUAGUGGUGCCUGGCCCUUGCAGUGUGCAUUGUCGUCAUCGCAGCAUCGGUCGACGACAUGGUUCAUUUGCAGCACGACCUGGCCAUGAAAAGCCGGGCCCGACGGCCCAACCCGAAAAUCCUGCGCCGGACCGGAACUAAUUGUUCCAUCGGACUGGGCUCGGGUCUGAAAUUGUGCCCGACGGUCGGGCCGGGCUCACGAAAACAUGAUUUUAGCCGCAAUCGGGCUGUGUUGAGCAUUUUUGGGUUUGGGCCCGAUUUAUUAGGCCCGACGAUCAGACCAGGCUAGACUCGGGCCUGAGUUUUUAGCAUCGGGCUUUUUUCGGCCCGGCCCAGCACAACAAAUUCCCAGGUAUACUUGCAGCACUGGCAACUCUGGGUCGCAGCAUUUUUUUUCUUUUCAAAACUGGGUCGCAGCAUCUUGCAUCAUCGCUUGUAGCAUCGGUAGCCGGCGUGGUCUGCUUGCAGCACCAAUGCGUAUGCACCGCUAAUAGUAUUCUUACUGACGCUUCCCAUGUGGAUUAGAGCGGCAUGGCAAUUGCCUGAGAAAUCAGGGCCGCUCGUUGGUGGCUCGGUUGCUAGUUUGUUCGGGUAAACAAAGCUGUGUCGCUCCAGGUCACAGGUCACGUAGGAAUCUCCAAACAAGAUACAUUUGCACCGUGGCACCUAAUCACGAACCAGAUCUGACAUGCAUGCGGGCAACAUUUGUAAGGACCGUGCAGGUGUGUACAAAUUGGAAAACUGAGUUACACCAUGUAAACUGAUGAACUUCUUUCCACGUCAAUGAAAAGGUACGUAAGCUUUAUGUGUGUGCGAAAAAAAGAAUGUCAAACCGGAUACAAUAUGAUCAAUUAUCUAAGACGGCCGGGCAAUUUCUUUCAUCCCAGACACUAGGGAGUUGGAAUUUACUCUGUUUAUUAAUGUAUAUGUAGUGGGUUUGUAGGUAUGAAUGAAAUCAUUGGCGUGGCCACAACGAGUUCAUAUGACCUCAACCAAUAAGCGUUGUGUGCAUUUUAUCUUCUUCGACGAGUUAACCUUAUUAACCCAAGAAUGUAUUAUGUGUACCUUGUCAUGUUUUCUUUUCGUCUUUCCUCCACCUCCUUAACUUUCAAAGGUUGGUCCACUAUGCUGUCAUGGCAUUCUUCUCAAAUUAGGAACGUGUGCAACUAGCGAUUAAGCGAAACCGAUUAGUAGAAUUCCAGUUCAUCUGGGUCCGUUCUUGCUCUUUGUCCUCAAUUUUUGUCCCUUUGAAGGUAAAUAAAGGAUGGAGGGUAGCUUCCCUUCCACUUGUUGGCAUGUUGAGCUAUUGUGAAGCGGUAAAGCUCCUCAUCAGCGUGUCGGUAACCGGAUAUUUGUGAUGGAUAUAUAAAGAUGAUAACUUUUGCCGAUUAGCCCGUUUUUUCAUGGAGAAGUAAAGAAAAAAGGUACGCAUGCUACAAUCACACCUGGUCAUUUGGUAGUUCGAUUAUUUGUGUUCCUUUUAGUCAUAGAAGUGAAGUGACCCCAACUCUGUCGAGAUCUAGUGAAGUGACCCCAACUCUGUCGAGAUCUAGUGAAGUGACCCCAACUCUGUCGAGAUCUGCUCUCACGGUUUCACCUAGACAUGCAUUUGAAAGUGUUCAACUCUAAAUAUCGUGCUAUAUGGCGAGCGCAGAGAUGAUAUGAUCCAUGGAGCUAUCUUUUUCGUUUGCUUUCCAUUUCAUACCCAGUCUUCUUUUUUACUAUGGAAAUUACAUUUUGAUCGUUUAAUUUAUGCUACUCUUAAAAUUGUCAUUUCACUUUUUUCCACUUGACAAUGCACCACAAUAGCCGCUUUGUAUACCUAUGCGAGUUAGUAACACAUUAAGAAGAAUCGAUUUCAUCAUUAACUAGGAGUGGAAUAUUAGUCACACUGCAAGUUACAUUCAUAGAACACCUAGAUUAGGUUGGUCGUAAUGAAAGUAUCAUAAACAGUAUCAUGCAUGCCAAUUAGGCUUAUUUGAUGAUGUGACACAUCAUUAAAUAAAGAAAGAGAGGAUGUGGUAACAUAUUAUGAUACCGUAUCAUAUUAAGUACUAAUUUGUGUCAUGCAUGACAAUUAAUAAAACAACCUAGAUACUAACUUAUGAUAAUAUGCAUUAUUUAAAUAAUGUCAUAUACACUAGUAUCAUAUGCAUGAUACUAGUAUAUGAUAGUUAAACUCGUUACCACAUGAUGACACGCACCACCUGGUUGCAGCUACGACCGCCUCCACGGCCAUGGCCACCACCAGCAUAGACUGCGGCAAUGUGGAAAUGCACCUCACUUGCCGUACUGCUAGCUACCCUACUCUUAUCCUAAGCCGAAUUAGGACCUAGCACAGCUUCCACGCCUCACUUGCUGUGACAGGUCCUGGCCAAGCUACCACUGGAUGGUCCAGGUCGCGAACCAAACACGGUCAGGAGCUGUCACACCAAGCACAAGCGGACCAAAUAACACCUAGCUCAAAAAAGGUCAACCAGAAACAGAUGACACCCAAACACUACCAGCAGGAUUUGAGCCAUCUCAAACAAGCAGUUUUGACAGGAACAGAUGACUAUUGCAAAAUUUCUCAUCGCAACAUUCGCUGUAUCACCACAUUGGUCCACUGGUUCAACAGCAAUAGAUGAUGGCACAAGUCUUAGAUUCAGCGAUCAUAACAUGAUAGCAGGAAUUCGAUUAAACCCAUAAGUUCCUUAGCCAAAAUUUCAUCUCCAUUUGUAAACCACCCCUCUGUCCACUAUGUCCAUGUCCGUAUUCCAGUAGGCCUGCAAAAAUUUAUAAGGAAAAGUUACAUGUUAGUGGUUCAGAUUUCACAGAGAGACCAACAAGAUACAUCAAAUGAAAGGAAGAAACCCUUAAACUGAUUACAACGAUGCAUGCUAGUGGUUCAGAUUUCACCGAGAGGCCAACAGAAAUUCACAUGUUAGUUAAUUAUUAAAGUUGUUUUUGUCUCUGAGACUGAUUUCAUAUUUUCAGAUGUGUUGUAUUUAUAUGCUCAUUUUUUAGAUGUAAUGGCAACUUAACCUGAUCUUAGAGGUUACCCAACUAAACCUUUCAGAUAUAAUGUAUUUACAGGCACACCGACCAACGGUCCGGAUUUGAUCUCAUUUGCAUGUGCAGCCUUUACAGUUGUUCAAACAUUUACUAUUGUAUUGAUUUCGAUGGGGUUUGGAUAUGGACCAAAGAAUUUAAUCAAAGUCAGCUGCCAUACAAAUAAACACCAGCGAGGCAAACAUUAAUAACCCCGCCAUAGAUAUUAGAGGAACAGCUCACAGGUCGAUGUCUAAGACACGAGUGAAAUAUGACACCAUAUACAUACUUAGUACUACUCCAUGAACAUGACCAAUCACAGUAGUAGUUUGAGCAUGACAGGAGCUGUGACCGGUUGUUCUUCUGGCAGGGUUGAAUUACAGCAGCAAGGUUAGCGAAGCAAAUGGUGAUAGGAAGCUUGAUGCCACACGCUUUAUUCAUGAUGCAUUUGCUAGUCUAGGAAAAGAAACAUAGAAGAUAUUGCUGAUUGAGGGAGGCUCCAGGCCAGGAGCGUCACGCCCAGCACACACAAACCAAAUGAGCCCAGCUACCCAAUUACGCUGCAUCUGAUUACACCCUAGCUCAAAAGCAGGAUUUGACUACAUACCAUCUCAAACAAGACAGCAAUAGAUGAUGGCAUAAUUCACUAUUGCAAUCUAUCACCACCAUAUACUCAGCCACCGCCAGCCACCUAGUGAACAUCCAAUAUCCUACUUCGUGUCACUAUUGUACAUUCCAGAUCUCAAAACUGUAUGCUGCUGUCAUGACAAACAAGAAUGCAAAUCUGAUCUCAUGAUCAAAUAUAGCCCAUAACUGAAACUUCACCAAAAAUCCAUACCCAAGCUUGAGAAAAUUGUGAAAACAUUUAUUCAUACUCCCUCUGUUCCUGAAUAUAAGGUGUAUUAUUUAUGUAUAUUGUAUAAAACAAUUGUAGAGCCUGUGCUCAAGAAAAGGUAACAAAUUAAGUUGUACAUGGAGGGCAGGUUUUGCACUCCACCAGAACAGCUUACAGCAAGACAUGUCCCAUCCUCAAUGAGAACAGCAGAACACUGUACACAGAACACCAGCAUGCUGCCUGACACAAAAUCCUGCAGUUUCAAGUGAAAGGAAGCAGAGAUGCACGGCGAUACAUCAUCUCUUGUCAAGACUUUAUACACCGUACGACCAAAUCACGAAAAUCUAAAAUCUAAUGUACAGGUCGUUUGAAUUGCAUACUUGACUACCCCCAUUUCACAAAAUCUUUUGCAACAGUGGAAAGCAUUUUGGGUUAAAAAAAGGUGCGAGAUUGAGAUACAAGAAGGUUGGUAAGCGGUUGUCUAUUGCAGUGGGCGGGCCGACCAGAAUUCAUUCCUUAUUGGUUUGACUACAAGCCGAAUUUGGCAAAAGUCCUAAAACAUUGCUGGCUCGAAUCUAAACCACACGCGCGUACAAAUCACCUCACAUCCGUCGAUCCGUACCCACUCAAUCAAUUGACCACGUUAGACUCCAAGCCGCACCAACCCGAGACGCGCAAUCGGGAAACAAAUCGAACCUGAUAUUCAGCGGGGGGCCGACCCGAUCCUCUUUGUGUAGAAGCGGUGCGCCGCCUGCAGGACCUUCCGCGCCCCUUUGUUGUCCGCGCGGGCCGCCUUGAUCCUGUAGAUCCGUGUCAGCGGAAGCUACGCAACGAAACCGAACCAGAAGGAAGGAAAUCGAAGGGGAAGGGACUCGCCUCGAAGCCCGAUCUGACCCGGGACGAGAAGCGAAGAGGCGGUGCGCGAGGCGGCGGAGGUGCUCGCGGUACACGUAGGCAGUGAUGAUGAUGCCGCCCAUGAGGAGAGGCCCUUUGCCCGCCCGAGAGGCCGCGCGGGCGACGGCGCGGCCGGCGGCGACGACGGCGGUGAGGAAAACCCUAGCCAUGACUCUCGUCUCGCUCGUGUUCGUGUGGGAGGAAAUGGUUGGAGCUGGCUGUGGGAGGAACAGGUGAAAGUGAGGGGAUUCAGGGCAUCUUCAAUGGUUGUAAGGGCAUCUUCAAUGGUUGUAAGAUAGUUGUUGGUAAUUUUGACACAUAUGAUUUUUGAUGAUGUGUCAUUGCAAUAAAUGAGGAAAGAGAACAAGGUUGUAUGUAAAUUAACCAACACCCUUGCACAAGCUCCAAUGUAGAAUGAGAGAGCACCUUAUUUAUUACCUCACAUCUUAUUGGGCAAACUAGAUAUAACCCAUUGGAGUAAUUGUAUGUUAAGGUGUUGGCUGAUGACAUGGCAUAUUUUACCAACAAGCUAACCAACAAACUGUUGGAGAUGCCCUCAGAAAGUGGGAGGGGCGUGCUUGCGUUAUGUGAUUGUGUUUUGGGGGUUUGUGAAUUUGUGAUUUCAUACCAUGCAUUCCAACUACCCCUAGUCGCCCCCCCUUCCCUAGACGUCAUGUGUGGCGACGGUUUUGCCCUUCCUCCCCGCCCAUCUACAUCUCACCUCUUCUCUCGUCGUCAAUCCACCAGGUGAAGCCCGGACGUAAUUGGCGACAACGGGACUUACUUGUCUUGACUGUCUCUGGUGGUCAAUGGAUCCUGCGGUGCCAACUAGUGAACCGUUCGGCUCCUCGAAGGGCGAUGUGUGCAGCGUGGUGGGAGGCCAUGGUCUGCUAUUGCAGGUGCGUCGCGGGCAAUGGCUGGACCCCUUCCCCGAGGUUCGAGCAGGUAGAGGGGCGUAGUAGGACACUCGACAAAAGCCUUGUGUUUCAAUAGGCUUGAUGGAUGCUUGCGACAAUGGCACGAUGGUGCCCUCCUUUUUCGAAGCAGUUGCUAAAUGGCACCUCCUCUCCACUAGAAUGGAGUUGGCCAGUUCUUAGGCUUGUCGUGGUGUCUGAUAGCAUGGGCGACAUUUUCUCAAGGUUUGGGAAGGGGGAGGAGGUUUUGGGUGGCUAUAGGCAAAUGCUUAAGCCUCCGACAAGAGUCGAUGUUGGCGGCGACAGUGUCCACAGAUGUCGUUUUUUUCUUGAAGGCAUCACCGAAGAACCCACAUGCUUCUCUUUGAAUUGGGGGCAUCUUGGCGGUGAAGGUCAUGUUUCGUCGGUGUCGGCAUUGUUGUUCUUGUUUCUUUUUCUUCUUUUUGUCGGGCGACUUUGUGUGAAUAUCUCUUAAUAAAUUACAUCUUGUGUGAUUUUUGGCUUAGUUUUUCUUAUAAAUUGGUCUAUUCUUUACGAAAUUGCAGGAUCACUCUUCCCCGUGACAAGGUUCCCUAAAAAAAUAGUUGGUACCUUGUGAUCAAAAGAAGAUUUGUUAUUCGCUGACCAUGACCUAGAGUUUGAAGGCCAUCAAGCAGAGGGGAAUGCAAGAUCUAGUUGCACAGUGUGUCGUGGUAAGUUACUCAAGUGCACAGUGAAAAUUCCAAAUCUGUGCUGACAAUGUUUGCGGUUUAUUUAUUGACUAACUAGGAUGCAUAUCAUGUCAUUUUGGCACCAUAUUCACAUGGUUUUUUCUUAUAUAUUUUUCCAAUUGAGUAGGGCAACUCCUAAUUUUAUUUGUCAUGAAAUGGUUCUAUUAUCAUUCAUCCUAAGUUAAGGAGACAAUGAGUUGACUCACACUCCCAACCAGGGAAGCCAAUGAACACCGACAGAGGUAGGAUACUGUCUUCUUUUCCUCCAGGAAAGGCAGGAGCUCCAUCCGUGCAAUAUAUUAGAGGGAAAAGAGAGUUUAUGCAUAAAGCCAAGACAAGGAGGCCCAAAAGGCCACGCCAAAGAGGACAACAUUGCUACAAUCGGCUGAAGUGCGAUUUUCUGAAAAUUCUUCCCCGAGGGACAUCACUUUCGUCGUUGAGUGGUAGAUCCCCUACAAAAUACAAUUAUUUGUAGUCAAAGAAAUCGAGGUUUGGAUCACUUAGUGCUUGUUCGGAUGCACUCCACUCCAUCAAAUUCUCAGCUCCACUCCCCGCUCCUAGAUAGCUGCUCCUCAUGAUAAAUCGGGAGCUGGCAACCUGUUCGGCAACAAACUCCACUCCAUGUUCUGGAUUGCUGGCUCCCCAUCACACAUCAAUCUGAUUUGACACUUAUCAAUGCAAGCAUGAGUUUGCUUGUGCCAAGGAUGCACAAAAUUACAUAUAAUGCCGAGUUUACUCAAAUGAAGCAGAAAUUUCACACAUGAUUUCUUUGUGCAAAAUUUCACACGUAAUGAAAUUUAUCGCACAGGAGCACUUUAACAUGAAUUUCCUGGAAUUACAGGAUUUUAGCAAUAUAAACAGAAGGGAUUUUCAGAUGACAAACACGAACAAAAGCCACGUAAACACAUGAAUUCUGUUGACACCAAUCUUGUCCUAGUGAAGCUCCUAGAUAAACAAUUUUCAACACAUGAAAAUCUUUAUACACAACAGCAUCAGCAAAACCGCAGGCGCGGCGAAGCUAGCGCUUCGAGCUGUUUCGCUUGCUUCUUUUUUAUUGUGGCAACUGGUGAUGGCUUGAACUGAACCAAAAACAUAUAUACUCUGCUUCAAAAAAAUUGCACCUACAAAAUUGCAAAUUUAUUAGUAGGUACAAAAACAGAUGAAAUAUGUGAAAGAAGUAGAAUCAGGUAAUCAAUGAACUAGCUAACAACAUCUUUCAGAUUCUAGACUGAUGCAUCUUGCCACAAGGAAAUAAAUGACAAGUAAUAUUGUGGCUAAUAUUUCAAAAAAAACUGUAGGACUCUAACAAAUAUAAACACAUACAUGGGUUAGAAACUAGUGUGUACUCACAUUUAUAGCAGAAGCGAAAGUCACCAACCAAGAGCAAUAUCAGUUGCUAGUUUAUUACGAAACAUGUCCAUGUCUUUAUCGCUAGCCUCUGAGGUUGACGCGUCUGAUGCAUUUGAAGGGAUGGCGUACCGUUGAUACCUUGAAGGGAUAGUUGGGACAUAGUUGGGAUCUAUGUCGACUUGAAGAAAGUGAAGAUCACCCUUACCAUGAUAUCGAACAUAAUUGUGAAGGGUCAUAGUUGCAGCCACUAUCAUCUUCUGAGUUUCAACCGAAUAAUUGGGCAUCUUUAGUAAAAUCUGCCACUUCAUUUUCCACACACCAAACCCUCUCUCAAUCACAUUAUGCUUGGAUGAGUGUAUCUUGUUAAAUUUCUCCGUAGGUGUUCUUGGUGCCACACCUCGUUGAAAAUCGGGCACAUGGUACCUCUCUCGCUUGUAAGGUGCCAGAUAUCCAGGUCUAUUAGGAUAGCCCGCGUCCACGAGAUAGUACUUACCUACAAACAACAGGCAGAUUGCAUGUAAGGCCUAUGAUUUUUUUAUAAAGAAUUUGAAUAAACAAAACUAUUAUAGGAACUACUAACCUUUUGGAGGACGAGGAAAGGUAUCUUUGUCAGCUUCAAUAGCAUGAUACAAGACACUGGUAUCAUGCAUAGAACCAGGUUGGCCAACUGAUGCGUACAUGAAAUGCAUGUCAAAAUCACAUAUUGCGAGAACAUUUUGAGUUGUUGAUCCCGACCUUCCAAUGUAUCUAACUUGGUCGCCAGCAGGAAUAGAAGCUCUGACAUGAGUACCAUCUAGUGCACCGAUGCAAUCCUUAAGAUGUGGAUAAGCCCUUCUAUCCUUUUGAAUCCUUGGGUGCACACUACUAAAGUUUGGGUCCUUAGGUUUGAGGUAAUCUGCUGCCAUCUUGAUCACACAGAGCAAAACCUCAUGAAACUUACGAUGGACUGUAUCUCCCGAGUGCUUGAAACGGUUUUGUGUUCUCCUAUUAGACUCACAACCCCCUAAAGUCCACAAAAACAUUGCAAGUGCCUCAUAACUGCUCAUGAAACAGGUUGAUUUGAAGCCAUACCUUUUGACCAACAAGUCAUGCAAUUGAAAGAAAAGGCGAGCGUUCAUCCUCAACAUUGUAUAUGUUUCUCCAGGUGUUGCCACUGUCUCCUGUAGCCAUCCGAACCCACUGAGAAUAGAAUUCCUUGGGUCUACCUUGAUCAAAUAGUUGUCACAAUACUUCCCUGCAAGUAUUGAUGCACCGACAUAUAUGUUGGACAUUGAUUGAACAUGGUGGCAUACCCUCUUCUUCCUUUCUUCAUAACUAUCACUAUCAUUGUCACUAUCCGAUGGCAUCUGAACAUACACAAGUAACAACAAUUAGUACUCAAUUAUCAACCAGAUUAGUCACAACAAGAAGAUAAGUAAGAAUGUAACACAAGAUUACCAAGAUUACCAAGAUAGAAGCAACACAAGUAAGAUUACCAAGAUUGAAGACACGGCUGAAACAAGGUAAAUGAAGGCACACAUCUAAAACAAGGGAAGAAAAGACUAAUGAAGUUCAAACCAAAAUAGUCUUACAGGCAAACCAUAGAGUACAUAAUGAAGUUCAAACUUUAAAUUAGUAUUACAUCCCAAUAGGUAGAAACGACAUUACUAGCAUCUAAUGCCCAUACUUGGUGUUGUAUUUCCUACGCAACCAAUCAAAACGAGCAACACUUUCAGUCAUGUGCAGGAACAUCUCUCUCUGCUCUCUCUUCACAAAUAGUUCACUAGCAAUGAAAUAUUCAUCACUGCCUACUAUUGCACCACACUCAACAACUAGAUCCAUCACAGAAGUAACCGAUGAACUUUCUUCUUUCAUCAUGUAUGACUCAAAUCUAGAUUGGGUCCUCUCUGCGAUAUCUCCAACCCUGGUUAUCUGUUCUUGUAUAACAAGUGAGGUCUUCUGCUUCUUGUUAUUGCCAUCCACAACCCUGCCAAGUCCCUUCCCUUUUCCAUCAGCAUGCGACUCACAUGUUUGUGUCUCCUCCAGAUCAACAUCGUGUAUGUUGUCCACAUUGAAAACUGAAGUUGCACUACUAGAUUGGGGAAUGGUGCCUGAAGCGGGAUUCCAAUGAUCUGUACCAUCACUCGUGAUAUCACCAAACAUGAUAGAUAAGUUAUUCUCAUUUCGAAGUCCACGCUUUUGAAACUUGCCACAACCAGGGAUGUCCUGAAAUAAAACAAAACAAAGAUUGAUUAGCAUCACUACUCCGCGAACAAUUGCUUAUAUGGUAAGAACAAAUAGGAAAAGUCAUGACUCACUAUUUUUUGCUUUCUUCCACCAUUCAGCAUCUUGUUUGACAGUGUUUCUCUCAUAGUCCCACCCACCACCAGUCUCCUUCAACUUGAGUUUUCUGAAGUUGCUGUAAUCAGCCUUCAACUUAUCCCACUUGUUUUUCAGUUGGAGCCUGGUGUACUCCAGACCUGUUCUGACUUUGAAAUCAUUUGCAACUUCCUCAUAAGCAUUUGGAGUCAGGUGCUUGUCUGGCCUGUUGCCAGCACGCACUUGUUGGACAAAGAGCUCGGUCAAGAUCGUAGUAUUGUCAUCACUCCCAUCGGCAGGCAUUCUUCAAGAAAAUUACAUAUUAAUUGCAAGCCUUACAAGUGAACACGUAUUGAUGAAAAAUCAUCAACGAGGCUCCUAGUUACAUGCUAGCAAAGACCAUGGCGAAAAAGAAUCAGCAAAGCUACUCUAGUACGAACAAAUAAUAAAUAGUACUGUAAGAUUUCAUUUGGGACUAACUCUGCACACUAAAGAUAAUAUCGCACCAACCGAUGAAACAACACUCAGACCAAUUCAGACAAAACACGUAUCAGUAUGACUGUCUGAAGAAACACAUUUAAAUUCAGAUAACGUUUCUUCACACUACACAGACCUGAAUCAGAGUAAGGAUCGUAGUAACAGAGAUGCAGAAACGUUUCUUCAGAUCCAUUUAAAUCCAGAUAACGUUUCUUCACACUACACAGACCUAAACAGGCAGACAUUCUUUAAGAAAAUUACACACUAAGGUUCGUAGUAACAGAGAUGCAGCCAAGUUAACAGCAACGGUGAUUGCCUGAUUCCAAUUCAUGCACACACAUCAAACUACACAGACCAAACUGGUACCAACGAUGGAAUACCAUCUAAAAUUUAUUGUUUGUCAGCGAGGUCCUAAAACGCUGCCGAAUCUGCCGGGCCUAAAACGCUGCUGCUGCUGCAGCGUUUGUCAGCAAGGUUCCAUCUACAACUAAUAUUUUCUGGAAUCAAGAACACACCAAUCCUUUCUGGAAUGAAGAACAUAUACAACUAAUCAGGGAUAUGAAUCAAGAACAGAUAGAGGAACAAGGGUGCAGUGAGGAGAUAUGGAUCUCACCUUGCUGGAUGUGUCGUGGGCCUGGAUGCAGACCUUGGUGACGAUGAAUCCAAGCUGCCGGAGACGAGGACGAGGCCCUGUUGAUCUCAGCCGCCGGAGGCCAAGGUCGCAGCCGCCUUGAGAAGGUGGGCGACGAGGAGAUGGCGAGGUCGCAGCCGCUUGAGGAGGGGGACGAGGAGAUGGCGAGGAGGGGGACGACCAGACGAGGAGAUGGCGAGGAUCUGACAGCAGGGGUAGCGGCGGCAGGGAGCUAGGGUUCCAUGUUGCAAGUUGUUUUGGGGAGGAUGAAGGGGAUCGCACAUGUAUGUUUUGGGGAGGGAGUCGCGGGGAGUCGACCUUAGCGACUCCACCAAAUCUGACUCGGAUUGGCUCCGCUCCACUCUUUUGACUCCGUGGAGUUACAGCGUUCGACGCGCUCCUCCCGCUCCCGGAGCGGAGUUGUGGAGUGGAGUGGAUCCGAACAGGUCCUUAAUAUCCCACAAAACCUUUAUGUGUUUCAGAAAAAACUGUGUAGUUUUGUAUACGUCUUUUUGUGCCAAACAGUAAGUUGCAUUUUCCGGUCCGUAGGUGUCUGAACAAAUGCAAAUGAUAAUAGAGACACCCACAGGAGCAAGCAAACCAAAGUCAUGGUAUGCAAAUACCAAAGUUGUCCAUCUCAACUCCGCUGCUUCGUCCUCAGUCAGACCCGGAUUAGCCUAGUUGUCCUUAUUUCUGUCUUGGGGAUUAUUGUGCUAUUCCCCCAGCAAGACUUUGUAUUUUCAUUUGUACUUUGGCCAUGGUUGUGUGUCAGUUGGCGUUUGCUUGGGUGCGUUGAACAUUUUGGUGUCUCGUAUGCUUUGGUCGAGGCUUUAUAUAAUAUAAAGCGGGGGAAAAUCCUUUUUCGCCGAAAAUACUAUGAGUAAAUUGCAGAAAACUAACAUUUUAAAGGUUAGGUGAGCAGAAAAUACUAUGCUACACUUUUGUUGCAAAAAAUAUCACGUCUUGUGUAAUUGAUUUGCAAAAACCAUUGAUCGAUCAAUUUGGCUCGAUUGAGCACAUUUAUGACACAUGGGCUUCGUUUGUUAGGCUGAUGUGGCAUCGUUUAACAUAUCUCAUAUAACGGCGUUGUUUGAUAAUGUUAUCAUCAUGUGUUGCCUGUGGGGUCCACUUGUCAUUGGAAGAACAUAAAAAAACGGGUUUGUCCUAUCUUCACCACCCGCUCAAAGAAUAACAAUGCUGACACCGACGAAACAUGACCUCCACCGCCAAGAUGCUCCAACUCAAAGUAUGUACUAUGCUACUUGACCAAAUUGUACCAAGGCAAACACACGCUACACAUGCAAGUCUAAGAGUAUAGCAGCGAAAAGUAAAGACAUGCACAUAUAAAUAGAGGGUAGGGAUAGGAAGAUCAAACACAAAGAUUAACACGGUAUUUUUUGGUGUGCUUCCGAUAGGUGGUGCUAUCGUACGCCUACGUUGAUGGAGACUUCCUCCCACGGAGGAUAACGGCUGCGUGAGUUCACGAAGGGCUCAACCCACGAAGGGUCCAUGGAGAAGCAACCUUGUCUAUUCCAUCACGACUUAUGUUCAUAAAGGACUAGCCUCACUCGGGGUAGAUCUCCACGAAGUAGGCGAUCUCCUUACCCUUACAAACUUCUUGGUUCAACUCCACAACACGAAGUAGGAGGCUCCCAAGCGACACCCAACCAAUCCAGGAGACAUCACUCUCCAAAAGGUAAUAGAUGUGGUAGUAUGAUGAACUCCUUGGUCUUGUGCUUCAAAAGAUUGUCCUCAACACUCAAUCACUCUCUCACAGAUUUGGCUUGGAUAGAAAAGAUUGAUUGGGUGGAAAUCAACUUGGGAGGCUAGAAAUCAAGAUUGCAAUGGUAGGAUUAGAAUAUAUCUUGAUCUCAACACAUGAGUAGGUGGCGCGCUCUCAGAAAAAUGGAUAUGAAAAUUGUUGGGUCGUUCUGAAUGCUUCCUUUAUGAGUGAGAGGUGGUGGAGGGUUAUAUAUAGUCAUCUCAAAAAAUCCAACCGUUACAACAUUAUUGCUCAACUCGGUGAAACCGAAGUGAAACUCGGUGGUACCGACUAGUGUAAAAUGUGGCAACUUUUGUAUUUUUGGUGAGAUCGAUAUAUGAAUCUCGGUGGUACCGAUUUUUGCUGGCCUAGUCAUUUUCCACAACUCGGUGAGACCGAUUCUCAAAACUUAGAAAUUCCAAUUUUGAGAAGUUGGUUACCUGAGCCCGGGGCACCAAUUUCGGUUGCACCGAAAUGACAGUUGGGGUCAGCGAGAUGCUAGGGUUUGGCAUGGGAUCUGUGUGAGGUAAAACUCGGUAGGGUCGAAUGGAAAAAAUUUGGUGGCACCGAAUUUUGGACUUUGUGGAUUAUGAAAAAAUAUUUGUGGGAAAAUUUCAUGAGUAUUUUUCGUGGCUAUCUCUAAGCACUUGAGCAGCGAGAUCAACAUAGUCACCUCAUCCCCUUUUAAUAGUAUUGGCUUUCCUAUGGACUCAAAUGUGUUUUUUCCAGAAAAUAUAAAAUGUAGAGUCUUAAAGCUUGUUCCCAAUAGAUGCUCCUUGCAUGUAGGGGUUCUCCUUACAAUCCUUAGCGAAUGCAUCAUUGAACUUUUCAUGAAAUAUACUAGAUGGAAUCAUUAGAUCAAUGACACAUAUGUUGUGAUUAAUUACCAAAACCACCUUAGGAAGAAAUUACGCUUUCAAUAUCCUCCUUUUUGGUAAUUGAUGAAACCAUAUAGAUCAAUGCUUCGACAUAAGAUAUAAUCAAUGAAUAACAUCUUUGCUUUAGCAUCUUCGCUUUGAGAAGUAUGUGAUAAGCAAGAGCUCCUCCUAAAUUUUUGCAUUAUUUUAAAUUUGCGUUUGAAUGCAAAUGCACAAUCGAUUAAGAUCAUGGGUCACUCUUCCAUGUCACAUACAACUUGGUGGUGCACAUAAAUGAUAUGAAUGAAUAGUAAUGCACAUAACACCAAACAAUAAGUGAAUGAUCAUCAUACACAUAGCUCAAGGAUAGGAAACAAUAACGUCAACAAUCAAAGCGUAUGAUCAAACACAAUAAAGUAUAAGACAUCAAACAAAACCAAAUGUUUUAGAAAACCAAAGAAACUGUAUUGGUUCUUAAUACAUUUUUACAUGAAUUGAGACAAUCACUACCUUGCUUCCAUCAUCGGGUUUAGGUUAGCCUCAUUCAAAAUUGAUGUAGUCCGAGGUAGAAAGCUAUAUGGCGCAUUUGGUUGCUCACACCAAUUUUGGGAUAUUUGCAUAGACUUUUCAGAUGGACCUGACCGAGGAAAAAUGUAACACCCCAGAGUCAUGCUACAGUGAGCUCACACUAAAGGUGCUAUGUCAUCAUGUUUAACUAAGCCAAAUUAUCACUUGAUAAAAAUCAAAGUCAAAUUAAAAUUUAAAUAAAGUCAAAUAAAAUAUUUCUUCAAAUGUAAAACAAAAUUGUUGGUUAGGCUGCAAAUCUUCCCUAAGUAAUUAUGUUAAGAAAAACAACAUGACCUCAACCACCAAAAUGCCCCUAGGAAUUAUAACAGUGAGAAAGUGAUACUCGUGAUCUGCGUUGGGUUUUUCCCGAAGAGGAACGAGUUAUCGCAUCACAAAGUGGGUAAGUCUUUCCCUCAGUUAUGAAAUCAAGGCUUAUCGAACUAAUAGGAAUAUCAACCACAACCGUCUUCAGUGGCUGCACACAAAAGAACAAACAACUUGCACCCAACGCGGACAAGAGGGUUGGCAAUCCUCUUGUCUUAUUAUUUGCAAGCAAGUGAGGUGCGUAGAUAAUUGUAGAUAGUAAGAUAAAAUUAAAACAAAUAAAUGGCAGAGAGGUAAUGAAUGUUUUAUCAAUAUGUUGUGAAUAGAUCUGGGGGCCAUAGCUUUUCCUAAUGGCAUCUCUCAUAAAAAAUAGCAUACGAUGGAUAAACAAAUUACUAUUGGGCAACUGACAGAAAAGCAGAUAGUUAUGCGAUAUUCACGACAAUGAUCAUGUGUAUAUAAGCAUCACGUCCAUAAACAAAUAGGUUGACUCCUGCCUGCACCUAUUACAAUUACUUCACUUCAAGAGCGCUUCUAUGUUUGCCUCUCUACGUAUUAAGUUCAUGACGAACGAAGUAAUGCAUGGAGUAAAAUGACAUGAUGUAGACAAACUAAACUUAAGCAAUAUGAAUAAAUCCCAUCGUUUUCUCUUUAGUAGAAGCAACACAAAGACACAUCUUGUCCCCCUCCGUUACUAGGAUAUAGAAACUCAUCAGGUUGAACCUACUACAAUGCACCUCUCUCACCGAAGAAAUACCGAUCUAGUUGGCCAAACUAUUUCAAUAGAUCGGAGAGAACUACGAAGCUAUCAUAAUAAUGUACAUAAGAAUCAUAUAAGUAUUCAAAGGCGACUCAGAUAUUCAUCAGGAAUAAUAUGAACAUAAACCCACAAUUCAUCGGAUCCCAACAAAGCACCACACAAAAGGAAUUACAUCAUAUGGAUCAAAGCAAAGAUGCGAUGAUCAUUGCAUUAAAGAUCAAAGAGAGAGAGAGAGAUUGCCAUCUAGGUACUGAUUAUGGACCCGUAGGUCUAUGGUGAACUACUCACACAUCAUUGUGAGACUAGCAAGGUUGAUAAAGAGCCCCUCUUUGAUCGACCCCCCUCCGACAGGGUGCCAAAAUAGAGCUCCAGAUGGCAUCCCAUCAGAACAGAGACUUGCGAUGGCGUAAAAAGUGUUUCAGGACCCCUUCUGGUGUUUUUAGGGUAAAUAAGAAUUUAUAAGCCGAAGAACGGAGUCGGGAGAGCCUCGAGGGGGCACAAGCUAUCAGCCCCCCGACCGCGCCCUGAUAGCUUGUGGACCACUCGUUAGGCCUCCAACUUCCUUUCGAUGCUCGUUGGUGUUCUUUUGGUCCAGAAAAAAUCAUCAAAAAGUUUCGGGGCAAUUGGACCUCGUUUGGUAUUGAAAACCUGCAAAGUGAAAAAGACGCACAAAACAUCAAUUGGCACUGGGCACUGAGACAAUAGGUUAGUGCUUAAAAAUAAUAUAAAAUGGUAAAUAAACACCACAAAAGCAUACUAGAAUGAUAAUGUAUCAGUGUGGUACAAUAAAAAAUUAUAGAUACGUUGGAGACGUGUCAGAAAGCAUCAAAUAACUUGAUCUUUUCAAUUUCUAAAAAUAUUUAAACUUUAAAAAUUACUCUCAAAACUUGUUGUGCAACACCACAACAUUGUGCAUGAUUUAUAUGCCAAGUUUCUUACAUAAAAAAAUCAUUUGGUGGGCCAACCGAUUGCAAAAUAGAAAGAAAUAAAAGAAUCGGAAAGGGAAAGAAAAAGGGGCAAAGACCCACUGUGCACGUGGGCCAUCAGUGCACAGUGCGGCCUGACCCAUCCCACCCUAGGUCUUUCCCUUCCUCUAUUCACAGAGGCGAGGUGGGCGUCGUGCGGCCGCUCAUAGCAGGGAUGGCCACGUGUCGGCCAUCUGACGCCUCCCCGCAGUGCAUAUGGUCGCUGUCGAGCCCCCGAACGGAACCCUAACAUUCACAUCCUCUUUCCCCUCUUGUCUUCUUCUCCCCCUGCAUAUGGUCGAGCCCUCGCCGCCAUGAAACCUCCUCCGUCGAUGCGACCACCUUGCCCCUCGCAGGCUGAAGACGUGUCCAGCCGCUCUGUCAUGCUCGUUUACGUCAUCCACGAGCCUCCGCUCGAGGCGGGAUGCACCACAACGCCGGAUCACCGUCAUCUCCAACCUUCGUCCACCGGUGCUCCGCUCGCGAUUCUCCGCCUCUGUCACUCCUAUUCAUUCACCGAGCCACCAUGCGCCUCCCCCGUGAGCUCCCACUCUCUUUCCUCUCUCUUGCGCCUCCCCGCUUGUUCCCUAGCUCGCCUUGCCGUCGUUUCCCAAGCUCACUCCCGCCGCUUGCAUUGUUGUCGCGGUCAGUGCAUGCCUAGCUCACGCCUGAGCAUUGCGCGGUGCUCCUGGCAUCUCCAGGAGGCCGGCGUGCCCCUUAGCCGGCCCGUUUGUGCCCAGUAGCCACCUGAUGAUGAGUUGAUGGAUAUAUUUCUCGCCCCUCGUUGGUUAUCCCAAGUUGAAGGUGGAGAUGUAGUCAGUAGCAGAUUUCCCUUACAUGGGGACUGUAAGGUUUAUCGAACCAGGAAGACUCCGAGGAUCAACAAGUAGGUGUCCGCUGCUCUGGCGCUAGCAGAAGACGUGGACCUGCAUACACAACAAAUAACUUUGCUCCCAACGAGUUCAGAGAGGUUGUCAAUCUCCCCGGCCUUGUAAUUUGCAAAGGAUCAAAACACAAGCGGGAAUAGCGAUAGUGAUUGCAACGGAAAAGUAAAUAAAAACAAUAAAUGGUGGAGGUGUAAACAAUGGUGGAAAUAUGGACCAGAGUCACAUGAUGUUCACUAGUGAUGUCUCUCUCCCAAAAGACGAUAAACAACUAUGUUGGGUAAACAAAUUAUAGUUGGGCAAUUGGCAGAAUUAUAAACGCACCGCAAUGCUAAUCAUGCUACAAGAAAGUUAGAUGCUCAAAAGUAAUGGGCACUACACCAAGACAAGUAGACCGUUUAUCCAUCAUCAUCUACUCUCUAAUCAUCCACCUUGAGAUAUCUAUGCAGAACAUCUCGCUGGUAUUAAGUUGCGAGCCCCACCCAAAGUGUAAACUCAAAGCAACGGACAACUGCAUUAACAAACUUUCCGUAAGGUAAAAAAUCCUUGCAACCGUGGUCACAAGCACUGUUGUUUUCUCUCUGGUGGCAACAUCACAUCCCCUAGUCUCAUGUUUUUGUCACUCAAGCUAGACAUCAGGGGGCAUGAAUCCACAAUCAUGCAUAACGCUCCCUCUUGGAGUUACAAUCUACUACUCGGCCAAAGCAAUAAAAAGCAACGGAGAACAUGCAUGAAUUACUCAAGAACAUAAUAUAAAAGGAGAACCAAAUAUAUAACUCAUCACGAUCUGAACAUAAUCUUAUAAUCCAUCGGAUCCCAGCAAACUCAACAUAGCAACAUCAGGUAAAUUACAUAGAUGCCUUGAUCAUGUAGGGUAGCUCACAAGGGCUAAGCAUUAAAGCACGAGAUUGGAGAGCAGACAUCACAUAGCUACUGUUCAUGGACUCAUGGUCCAAGGAGGACUACUCACGACACGUCCUAGAAGUGUCCAUGAUGGUGGAGAAGCUCCCGGAGGUCAAUCCUCCCUCCGACAGGGUGCCGGGAAGAGGUCUUCUAGCACAGCUGAGAAAUUCAUGGAAGCACUGCGGCGGCGACACGGUGGAGAAAUUCACGAUUCUCGAUAUCUUUGUAGGGUUUUUCGUCCGAGGGGUAAAUAUAGGCCAAAGGAGGGCGCCAGGGGGUGCACCAGCCGCCCAGGCGACCUGGUGGCGCGGCCAGGAGGGGACCGCGCCAGGUGGCCGCCUGGGUGAGGCCUGACUCCCCUCUGGCCCACCUUGGUGCUUCGUGAAUCUUCCGUCACGCUGAUUUUUAUAUAUUUUCUUGGGAUUUUUGGGGCUCUAAAAAUUGGUGUUAAGUCCCUGCAAUUAAAAGACAUCAACAGACAGAAACUGGCACCGGGUGCACUGAGUUAGUAGGUUAGUCCAAAUAUGUGUAAAAAGGUAUAAAAGUGUAGCAAAACAUAUAACAAUGUCACCCAAAAGAGCAUGGAACAAACAAAAAUUAUAGAUACGUUUGGGACAUAUCAACAUCCCCAAGCUUAAUUCCUGCUCGUCCUCGAGUAGGUAAAUGAUAACACAAAUAAUUUAUGUGGUGACAUGCCAACACACAUAUAAGAACUUCAAAGUAAAGCAAGUAAGAUAUGCAAUUCAAGUCAAGACAAUAACAAGCAAGAGUCUAUAUUUAGUAUUGAAAAUAGCAAAGUAAGAACAUAAAGGUGCAAGAGCUCUCGCUGUCCGUGACUCGAAUGUCUCCAAAUGGUGUUUGCGUGCAAGAAGUGGGAGAUGGGUUUAGAGCAUAAAAAUAUUAUAUAGUUUAAUUGAGAACUCAAUCUAGUAAAACUUCACACUUGGUCUCCUUCGGAAUCUUAUUUUGACUCAUCCCCAGACCACUAGUCACGCACAAGUCAAAAUGAUCCUCUCCCUGUCGACUUUGAGCACUCAUGCAAUGGAUGAGCGCAAGCAAGAUAUGUUGGCACUUAGGAUGGCAAAAAUAAUAAUGAUGGGAAGGAAUACAAAAAAAAGUGUGGAAGGCUCACAUCAAUGAGGACAACCAUAGGCGAGAUAAAGCCAAAUGAUAGAUAUGAUAAUCGAAACUGGAUCAAAAAAAGCAGGAGUAUCUUUUUUGAAAAAGAUUGGAAAAAAGUAAGUUUAAUUAUAUUCAAAAUAAAAGAGUAGGGAUUGCCAUGCAACGGUUGCACAUAUGAGCUAAGGUAAGCUCUCCAAUGUAACUAGUGGGGGUGCAUCCAACUUGCUUGCUCAUGACGAUCUAGAGCUCAUUUGAGGAGGCUCAUCAUUGGAAUAUACAAGCCAAGUUCUAUAGUGUAAGGGUCCCCACAUAGUUAUGCAUGAAUGAUAAUCUCUAUGGAGUACAAAUAUAACAAUGGAGUACGAGUGUGGAACUUUUAAAAGGAAUAGUAGUGUUGCCCCCUUCUCUCUUUUUAUUUAUUUUUUUCUUUUUCUUUCUUUAUUUUUAUUUUUGUGGCCUCUUUGGCUCUUUCUAUUUAUCUCUCAUUUGUCCUCUUUGGGAUCUUUUCAUGUGUCCUCUUUGGGAUCUUUUAAUUUGUCCUUUUUGGGAUCUUUUCCUCACUUGAGGGCAACACUCUAUAUUUUACAAGAAUAAAAAGAAGAUCUUCACACUUUAUAAGAAGUACUCAACAUAAAGACAAAUGAAAACUAUCAUGAUGUUGUAAAUGUAUGCCUCUGCGAGUGUAGCAGGAUAUGCAAUGAAACUAGCGCGUCAUGUAGAAAUAAUAAGGACAAGGCCCAACUAGCAUGCGGCUCCUCGAUCAAGCAAAAACAUGUAUGACAUGAAGAUCAAGUCAUGAGAUGAUGGAUGUUGCAUGGCAAUGUAUCUCGGAAAGGCUAUGAAAAUGCCUUAAUAGGUAGGUAUGGUGGCUGUUUUGAGGAAGGAUAUAAUGAGGCUUAUGAUGACAGAGCAUAUCAUGCCAAGGGUUUGGAUGCACCAGCGAAGUUUGCACAACUUUCAAGAUGAGAAAGGGCAAUGCACGGUACCGAAGAGGCUAGCAAAAUAUGGAUGGUGGAAGUGCCAACAAUCGAAUACUCGCAUUAGUCCAAAGAACUCAUGCACUUAUUAUCGGUAACUCUCUAUCUAGUCAGGAGAUUCACAAAGAGACGAGUACCCCGAGGAGGAGUGUUUGGGGGUUCGGUUAUCCUUGCGCAUCCUCGACCCAUGGUAACGUGAGGGUACUCUAUAUAUUCCAACCCCUACAGAGGUUAGCGAUCCAUCUAGUAGCUAGUGUUCUCAAUUUUUUUUAGUUUUUGAAAAUACAUACACAUUUCUAAAAGUACGACACCUAUCACUAAUAGGAUCAAGCUCUUGACACCAAUAGUCCAAACAUUACUCAAAUCAAUACCUCAAAACUAUUGCAAGUUACUACUAUACUUAAAUAGCAACCUGAGUUACCUACUCAUGCAAGACAGACAACUCAAUGCAACAAGCCAACUCUCUAAAAAAGAUAAGCAUGAUAACUCAAGAGAGUUCCAAAAGUAACAUAAAUAAAAGCUCUUAAAAAAUAAAGCAUGAAGACUAAGAGCUAAGCAUGACAGCAGCUAUGAAAAGAUAAAGAACACACAAAAAGAUAAGCAUGAAAACCUAUGUUCUGUUCUAGGGUGGAGUGGAGUGUGGUUCUCUCCCAAACAAGGAAGGAUAGGUUCCAACUUGUUAUGAACAACAAUUAAAACUAAAACAAACUAAAAAGUAAAGAGAGGGACACUCCAGGCAUAACACAUAACAUAUGAAGUGAUAAAAAUAUAGCAUGGAGAAGGGCGAACUGAUGAUUGUUGAUGGAGAAGGGGAUGCACGGGGGCAUCCCCAAGCAUAAACGCUUGAGUCUCCUUGAAUAUUUCUUGGGGGUGCAUGGGGGCAUCCCCAAGCUUGAGCACUUGACACUCAUGGAUCUUCUUUCAUCAUCUUCCAUCGCAUACUUGAAAACUUCCUUCAUACGAAACUCAUCAUAAGCUGAUUAGAGUGGUUAGUGCCCAUAAUAAAAUACUUUAUUCUCUACUAGAAAUAAAUAUUUUCAUGAAGAAUUACUAUUUCUCAAGAUUGCCAAAAGGUUUUUGCAGAGAAAAAGCAAGCUUAAGAUUUGCAAAACAAUGAAAAUGCAAAAGACGGCACAAUCUGGGAAAAACAGAACAUCAGGUAGUAAAUGAUAUUUUCGGGGCACUUCUGCAACUCAAAUAAAAACACACAACAGAUGCCAGAAAGACAAUUAUAUAGAGCAUACUGUCAAAACAAUUCAGAUCAAAAAGAUGAUCAAGCAGACAGAAUCUGUUUUUUGACAGCAUGUCACAACUUUUGAACUUUCUUGCAAUCGGAGGCUAAAACUUGGCACAAAGCUUGAAAAUAAAGAUACAAUGAUGUUGCUACAGUAGUAACAAGCAUCAAGACCACUAAAACUGAAAGGAAAAACAAAUUGGGUUGCCUCCCAACGAGCGCUUUCUUUUAUGCCUUUGAGCUAGGCAUGAUGCAAAAAGAUCAAGUAUUACCAACUCCAAAAGAAUAACUUGCCCGAGUAACAGACUCAUAAGGUAACUUAAUCUUCUUUCGAGGGAAGUGUUCCAUUCCCUUUUUAAGGGGAAAUUGGAAUCUAAUGAUACCUUCUUUCAUGUCAAUGAUAGCACCUACGGUGCGGAGAAAAAGGACGUCCCAGAAUAAUUGGACAUGAGGGAUCACACUCAAUGUCCAUAACAAGAAAAUCAACGGGAACAUAAUUAUCAUUGACAACAAUAAGAACAUCAUCAAUUCUCCCUAAAGGUUUCUUUAUGGAAGAAUCAACAAGACGAACACGAAAAGAACAUUGAUCAAAAGGUUUCAAAUCAAGCAUAUCAUACAUUCUUUUGGGCAUAACGGAGGCACUAGCUCCAACAUCACAUAAAGCAAAGCAAGAGAAAUUAUUCAAUUUAAUCUUGACCAUAGGAUCCCAACCAUCUUCUAGUUUUCUAGGAAUAUAAGUCUCUAGCUUGAGCUUCUCCUCCCUAGCUUUGAUAAGAGCAUUGGUAAUAUGCCCGGUGAAGGCAAUAUUGGGUGUACUAGUGUGGGGGGUAUUUAGCCAUUCUUUGCAAAAAAGUGAUAACUUUCAGAAAGACUACAAUUAUCAAAAUCAAGAUUAUUACCAUUAAUUUAGGUGGUGCUGAUGUCAUCUAAACUCAUUCUUUAGGUAGUCUCUAAGUUCAAAGGACCUUCUUGUCCUAAAGUUGAGGUAUUAGCAUCACCAUUAAUAGGUCCAUUGGGACUAGGGAUGUGAUGGGUGCUAAUAGUUUUGAGAUCCUCAACAACUUGUAUAGUAGCAAGGGUAGUGUGUGUAGGAAGGCUCUUAAUCCUAUCUCCCUCUUCUUUUUCUCUUGCCCAUCUAUCAUUAAGUUUGGCUAGCAUUCUUAUGUUUUCAUUAAUUUGGACUUGGAUAGCAUUCAUGGGUCUAGUUUGCCUUUCCUCAAGGGGGGGGGUUCUAAUUUUAAGCAUCUCUACAUCAUGAGCUAUGUCGUCUACCUUCAAAGAGAGAUUAUCUAAUCUUUCUAAUUUCUCUUCUACACUCUUGUUGAAGGCUUUUUGAGAAGUGAUAAAGUCUUUAAGCAUGCUCUCUAAUUCAGAAGUGGAGUUUUUGGUGCUAGGAUAAGUGUUGUUGCUACCAAAAUUACUCCUAUAAGCAUUAUUAUUAAAGUUGUUCCUAGAGAUAAAAUUAACAUCAACUUGCUCUCUUUCUUGAGCAAUCAAAGAAUUUAAAGGAACAUCAUGAUGAUUAAUAGGAGCUUGCUUAGUAAGUAAAGUCAUGAUCAAGUCAACCUUAUCAUCAAGGGAGGAGAUCUCCUCAACAGAGUUUACCUUCGUACCUGUUGGAGCUCUCUCGGUGUGCCAUUGAGAAUAAUCUGUCAUCAUCUCGUCCAAUAGCUUCGUCGGCCCACCAAGUGUAGUUGACAUAAAGGUUCCUCCCGCGGCCGAGUCCAACAGAUUCCGCGAGGUAAAGUUCAAUCCUGCAUAGAAAGUUUGAAUAACCAUCCAAGUAGUCAAACCAUGUGUAGGGCAAUUCUUAACAAGAGAUUUCAUACGUUCCCAAGCUUGGGCAAUGUGUUCAUUAUCCAGCUGUCUAAAAUUCAUAAUGUUACUUCUUAACUAGAUAAUGUUAGGAGGCGGGUAAUACUUCCCAAUAAAAGCAUCUUUGCACUUAUCCCAAGAAUCUAUGCUAUUCCUAGGCAAAUAUUGAAGCCACACUUUAGCUCCUCCUAUCAAGGAGAAAGGAAAAAAGCUUAAGUUUAACAAUAUCACCAUCUACUUCUUUGUACUUUUGCAUAUCACAAAGCUCAACAAAAUUAUUCAAGUGCAAAGCAGCAUCAUCUCCGGCAUCGGAGAAUUGAUCUUUCAUAACAAGGUUCAGUAAAUCACGUUUAAUCUCAUAGGAGGUCGCCUCAGUGGCGGGAGCAGCAAUAGGAGUGCAGAUAAAGUCAUUGUUGUUGUGACUAGUGAAGUCACACAACUUAGUGUUCUUAGUGGAACCCAUAGCAGCAGCAACAAGCAAGAACAAAGCAACUUAUUUUUUGUGGUUUUUGGUAUAAGACUCUAAAGCAAAAACUAGAAAGCAAACUAACAAGACUAAAAAGCAAAGGUAAAAGAUAGUGUGCAACUCCCCUAUCUUGAAGACUGGAGUCCCCGACAAUGGCGCCAGAAAUUUGCUUGAUGACGAGUUGAUGGAUAUACUUCUCGCCCAUCGUUGGUUACCCCAAGUGGAAGGUGGAGAUGUAGUCAGCAGUAGAUUUCCCUUACACGGGGACUGUAAGGUUUAUCAAACCAGGAGGACUCCAAGGAUCAACAAGUAGGUGUCCGCUGCUCUGGCACUAGCAGACGACGUGGACCUGCACACACAUCAAAUAACUUUGCUCCCAAUGAGUUUAGAGAGGUUGUCAAUCUCUCCGGCCUUGUAGUUUGCAAAGGAUCAAAACAAAGCGGGAAUAUCGAUAGUGAUUGCAAUGGAAAAGUAAAUAAAAACAGUAAAUGAUGGAGGUGUAAACAAUGGUGGAAAUAUGGACCAGAGUCAUAUGAUGUUCACUAGUGAUGUCGGGGACUCGAGCAAACUCAGCAUAGCAACAACAUGUAAGUUACAUAGAUGCCUUGAUCAUCUAGGGCAGCUCACAAGGGCUAAGCAUUGAAGCACAAGAUUGAAGAGAAGACAUCACAUAGCUACUCGUCAUGGACUCAUGGUCUAAGGAGGACUACUCACGGCACGUCUGGGAAGCGUCCGUGGUGGUGGAGAAGCUCCCGGAGGUCAAUCCUCCCUCCGGUAGGGUGCCAGGAAGAGGUCUUCUGGCGCUCCCUAUCUCGGAAGCGCUGCGGCGGCGAGACGGUGGAGAAAUUCGCGAUUGUGGAUAUCUUUGUAGGGUGCACUGAGUUAGUAGGUUAGUCCAAAUAUGUGUACAAAGGUAUAAAAGUUUAGCAAAACAUAUAACAAGGUUACCCAAAAGAGCAUGGAACAAACAUAAAUUAAAGGUACGUUUGGGAUGUAUCACCACGCUGUCGUCAUUGUCUGCCAUUGCCACCGCUCGGACGUCAUCGCCACUGCUUGCUUCGACCACCCUGCCUCCGUUGCAUGCACCGCUGGACAUGCAUCGUUGCGUCGUUCGCCUAGGGCCAAACCGUGCGCCAAAUGGACGUCGGAGGCGACCACACGAUCAUCGCCGGUGUGCCCUACCCCGUCGUCAGUAGUAAGUCGGAGUGUCGCUGACAUGGCGCUUAAUUAGUACUAACCUAAUUCCCCACUAACCCAUUAGCACGUGCGCCCAAGGCUAUUAUUACUAGGAUCAAAUCCACUUAAACUAAAAUGUCCCGCUGUCAUUUACAUGUGGGGCCAACGAUACUGUUCUAGUGGAUGAGGUUAAAUUAGCCAUGUUCCUGUGACAUGUGCCCCCCUACUAAUUAUCCUUAUAAAAACGUAACUUGUUAAGUUAAAAUUCACUCACACCGUGGUCCCACUGAACAGUGAUACGUGUUGACCAAUCAAAUAUUGACUAGGUCAACUGGGCCCUCUAGCCCCACAUGACAACUACCUAUGCACAUUGCUGGCACACUUCUGUGUACCAUAGAAAUUUCAGUAUUUAAUUUUUCGAAUUAAUAUAUUCUAUAAAUUUCAUAAUAUUAAUAAAACUUUGAAAAAUCAUAUAAAAUAAAUAGUAACUCAGAUGAAAAUAAUUUAUAUAUGAAAAAUGAUUAGAAAAAUAUAACAAAACUGAUUUUGCCAUCCACAUAGUUGUCACGUCCCUCCACCAUAAUGAACUUGGACAUUUUGCAUUAGGAUCAUCUAAUCGAAAAAUACGUGUAGCCGAGAAAAUACCGCAUGAUAUUUCCCCCUUCUUUUAAAAAUUCUGAGGGAUGCAUUAGAGCAUGACACCCACACAACUUGUCGUGCCAUUGCAUUUGUGUUGCAUUUGAUUUCUCCGUUAUUUAUUUUGUUUCUCCUUGUGUUACUUCUUUUCCGGUAGGCCCCGAGACCGUUGUUGAUACGGUGAUCGAUUUCUUCACCGUUGAGGAUUCGUAUCUGUCUGCAGAGCAAACAGGCAAGCAAACCCCACUGGACCAUCCAUAUAUUGCCCAAUUUUUUCUCCCUCGUGCUUGCAUUAGAAUUUUCUAUUAUAUUUGAUUGUUCCUAUUCUGAUACAUAGCCUGAUUUUGUAGCCUACUGUUGUUACCUACUUGCUUACACUAUAUGCUUUGUAUUGGUUGGAUACUGAGCCACCAGCGACCCCUCCCCUUGUCCUUGUUGCCCCGCUACAUUAUCGAAAGAUUUGAUCCAGGGGACCGACGAGCCAAGACUGUCACGUCACCACACACCCCCCUCCUUAGCUGUACGAUGCUACAUGAGUACUAUCGACUUUCGAGGAUGAUGGAAGAUUCAAUCCAGGUGAUCGACGAGACAAGAUGGGCAUAUCAUCUCACACCCCCUGGAUGGACAACGCUACAAUACUACUAUCGACUAUUGAGGGUGAUAUCUUCUAGUCCACUGUGAUAGUUACAUCAAUUAGAAACCCAUAGAGGGUGAUUCUUUGAAAUCCCCCUUGAUGACAAGGACACACUAUUACUUUUACCUGUUGCCCCUUUUAUUGGUAUUGUGGGACUAAAGGGACUGGCAUACCAGCCCGUUUGAAGUGGACCGGAGUCCCCGACAGUCUCUUGUGGAAUCGGGUCAAACUAGAGGGUAUUCGUGAGAUAACUACGUGACAUGGUCGGGGAUUCUUUGCCCUUGUCGUAAGUCCGAGAGACGGGGCGAUAGGAUCGGGAGGAUCGUUUAUCAUUACCGCGAGCUCCCAAGACACUAACGGGUUUGGAUAUGUGACCCGAGUAGGCCUAUGGCCUAUAUCGCACUAACCACCACACGGGAAUAAGUAUGGGCACUCUUCGUAGUACAUUCUCCCGAAAGCUCUCCAGACGUCACAGUUGAGCGGCACGCGCCCUGGUGGCUGAUGACCCACAAGUGUAGGGAUCUAUCGUAGUCCUUUCUAUAAGUAAGAGUGUCGAACCCAACGAGGAGCAGAAGGAAAUGACAAGUGGUUUUCAGCAAGGUAUUCUGUGCAGGCACUGAAAUUAUCGGUAACAGAUAGUUGUGUGAUAAGAUAAUUCAUAACGGGUAGCAAGUAACAAUAGUAACAAAGGUGCAACAAGAUGGCCCAAUCCCUUUUGUAGCAAGGGACAAGCCUGGACGAACUCUUAUGUAAGGUAAAGUGCUCCCGAGGACACAUGGGAAUUUCUGUCAAGCUAGUUUCCAUCAUGUUCAUAUGAUUCACGUUCGCUACUUUGAUAGUUUGAUAUGUGGGUGGAACGGUGCUUGGGUGCUGUCCUUACUUGGACAAACAUCGCACUUAUGAUUAACCCCUCUCGCAAGCAUCCGUAACUACGAAAGAAGAAUUAAGACUAAGUCUAACCAUAACAUUAAACUGGUGGAUCCAAAUCAGCUGUAACGACCAAGAUGCGGUCCUUUCCGAUCUGGGGGGUCGAGGCCCCGAAUAGGAAAGAAGCGCAUCUAAGUGUUUUGCAAGCAAGUAAACAUAGCACAAAAUAAUAAAUAUAGUAGACAAUCUGGGAUUCAACUGUCUUCUUAUUAAAAAUACAGAGUACAACGCAGCUACAAACAAGGUAGUUCCGGUACGGACUACAAAACAAGGGAAAUGCUAUGCUACCCGCUGCAGGCCCACGAUCACGACCACGGCUCAGUCCUCUGGAUAUCUCACGUAAAGGCGAUCUGUCUCCUCGUCGUACUGCCACGCCAGCUGGGUGCCGUCGGGAUCAUCUGCCUCUGGGGUACCUGUACCUGCUGGGGGUUUAGGAGGAAUCCGUGAGUCACGGGGACUCAGCAAUCUAAGACCUUGGUGCCAGAACUAGUCAUGUUAUUGGGUAAGGAAGGGGUGAAGUGUUUCAGAUUGUUGCAUCCUAAGAUUGAACAAGUGGCUAGCUUACGCGAAGGAGAAGUGACAGUGUUCUAUACUAACGAUCGUGAUUACUUGAUCAGAAAGUGAUCCUGAACACCUACCUACGGCAUUCGUAACCCCACCGUGUUCCCGAUCGAAGAGAGAUCUUCGAAGGGACAGUCACGGUUACUCACACAGUUGGCAUAUUUUAUUAGUUUUUCUUUAAGUUUUCUAAUACCGGAUGUUAACAAAAUAUUCCAAGUUGCCACAUAACCGCGGGCACGGCUUUCCGAAAGAUUAAACCCUGCAGGGGUGCUCCAACUAGUCCAUCACAAACGAACACAGGCCGAAAAGUCAUCCUCUAUCACGAAUCUCGUGAUCUCGUCGGAUUCCUUAGAGGAAAACCUCAACUCUGGGGAAAACCAAAGCCUCACCGGGAUUCCUAUACGCAAGAUAUACCGCUAAGGUAAGACAAGGCUAGCAGGACCUCCCGGUGUGUCGACGACCCGAUAAGAGCCGCGUAUCUCCGUCUCAGGACAACACCGUCUAUGCAAAGUGGACAAGGACCAAACCUCAAGUUACCCCGGGGUGGUCUUGCCGACUGCUAGGUGGUUGGACCAACACUCAUGAGGAGCACUGGCCCGGGUUGGUGAUUAGGAUCCUCGGGGUAGCUAUUCCCUAUGCAGAUUAUAGUUAGGUGAUUAGCAGAUAGUACCAAAGUUGGGUCCUGCCGGACAAGCCUUAACACUACGCGAUUUAUCAAGGGGGUCCCCAUAACAACCCCGAACGUGUUAGGAGCGAUCAUUAUGGAAUCAAACACCGAUAACCGGUAACUAAGGCGGCAAUAACGGAACAAGACACCCGGCAAAAGGCUAGGCCUCCCGUCAUGUACCUAAUAUAUAGAUACAUUAAUUAAAUAACAGAAAUUAAGAUAAUGAUACCAAGCUCAUGGCAACUCAUGAGUUAUAAACACCUGCAACUAACAAUGCUAACAUUAGUAGCUGAGCAAGCCUACCUAGCCAUGCAAAUUUGCUAGGAAAGAGUAAGGUGUUUGGGCUCAUGGCAUAUGAAGAGGCAAUAUAUUUUCAGUGGUAGGCAGCGAGCAAUAUGACGUGGAAUCGAAACUAACAUAACAAGUCUAGAUAUGGGAUCAAGGUCAUGUCAUCUUGCCUGUGAUAUCCUCAGCUUGGAAUGGUUCUGGAUCGUCCUGCAAGUACUCUCCUGACUCCACGUAAUCGGUCUCCGCUCCCGGUGCUACCCAACACAGGAAUAACAGCCAAUGAACAGCAGCACCACAAAAUGCAACAAUCACAUGAUGCAUGAGAUGAAAGUUGAGCAUGCACCACUAUUUCUAACACUAGCACAAGCAAGAUAAACUACAACGAGUUCCUGGACAGAACUUUGCACUAAACUAUUUGGACAUGCAUGGAAAUGAUAUGGACAGAUGCAUCUCGUAAAAACGGUGCAAAACCAUAUAAAGAACUUUGCAAACGGAGCUACGGAUCAACGGGAAUCAACGAAACACGAUAUGAAGCCCUACGUGAAAGAUUCAUCACCACACGCACAAUUGGCACAAAUCUGGUGUUCCCAGGUUGCCAAGACAUAUAUUAACCCAACAUGAAUGAAAUGGAGCAAGGUAGAACACCCCAACAACAAUUAAACACAAACUUUGAACAAAAUGCCAAAACUACGCAAUCUGCCAGUUUCUGCAUCUUAGCUGUUUGUGAGCCACAUGCAACAUAGCUACAGGUCUUCAAACAUGACAAAUAAUAUAUGUGGAUGUUUCCAACCAAGAACACUACCAUCUCCAGCAAGAAUCACAGCAAAAGGGAUUAAACUCUAGAAGAUACAAGGCCACAAACUUUCCCAAAACCAUCAGUUCUCAGGGACUUAGUGAAAAUUUCUGCACCUGAGUUUCUGUUUCUGUACUGAAGCCUUUUGACAGCAAUCAAAACACAAGAUACUGUACUCCAAAUGACUUGAAAAUUGACAGGAAGCUUCACAAACAUACCAGGUUCAAAACACCAGCACUGAACUAAGUCCAGUUCUCAAUAUACUGACCUGCACAACCUUAUCUACAGGGGAAGAAAAUGUUUUCCGCAUUCCAGACUUAGUGAAAUUUUCAGAGUUCAAAAUUCUGGAAUUUUUCCAGCCACAUGCCCACUUUGUCUAGGCAUAGUUUGCACACACAAGUUCCCAAGAGGUGUUUGACACCACUAUGGUAUUGAGCACAAACCCCUACAACUAACACACCAAGAUCCAUGCCUUUGGGCUCCAUCUAUACCAUGGAAACAAAGCCCAAACUUUCAACAAAAUGAAAAAUGCAAAACCAAAAGGUAUACUUUUAAGAUGACAAUGCAUAGGAGGGUUUCAUGUGCACAAUGACAAAGUGACAUGGGGUUUUGAACCCCAUGUUUGUGUCAUGCACAUCAACAACUCCAACACACACACAAUUCCUCUCAAGCACUAGCAUCAAGCUCGCACACAAGAAAUCUUUGUAUAACAAAAGAGUAUACACACCCCCCACACAUGGGCAUGUGAUGGUGCACACUCUCCCAAGCACCACUAGUAUCUUCCUAGUAUUCAUGUCACCAUCAUAGUGCAAACUACCACAACAAACCACACCCUCACAUGCUAUCAUAAAUAGCUAUCUAGUGCUAUUCCUCACCUCAAGACAUGUGAUGAGGGGGAGGCACCCACACCCCACUAUGUCAAUGCAAGCAAAUAAAACUACAAGAUCCCUUAGACCACCUUAAACUCCCAAAGAUGGGCUCCACAAGAGUAGCUAGUGCAUCUACUCCUUGAGGCACACACACACAAUUACCACACAUCACAAGUACCAUACCCACCAAGUGUUUACCAAGCUAGCAAUACCACCUCUACUUACUUGUAGGUGCACAACACACACACAUAGGGCCAUGUUCUCAACUACACUAGCAAGGAAUAAGAAGAUAAAACCCUCUUGCUGCCCAACAUAAGGGAGGGAAAGUACAAAAAAAAAAAAAANNNNNNNNNNNNNNNNNNNNNNNNNNNNNNNNNNNNNNNNNNNNNNNNNNNNNNNNNNNNNNNNNNNNNNNNNNNNNNNNNNNNNNNNNNNNNNNNNNNNNNNNNNNNNNNNNNNNNNNNNNNNNNNNNNNNNNNNNNNNNNNNNNNNNNNNNNNNNNNNNNNNNNNNNNNNNNNNNNNNNNNNNNNNNNNNNNNNNNNNNNNNNNNNNNNNNNNNNNNNNNNNNNNNNNNNNNNNNNNNNNNNNNNNNNNNNNNNNNNNNNNNNNNNNNNNNNNNNNNNNNNNNNNNNNNNNNNNNNNNNNNNNNNNNNNNNNNNNNNNNNAGUACAAAAAAAAAAAAAACAAAUAAAAUAAAUAGGCAGCAAAGGAAAGAAAGAAAAAAAAAAUUAAAAAAAAUAGCAAAACCAUUCCAGGGUCCCUGGGAUUCGAACUAGGCACCUACUGGAUUACCAGUCACCAACAAACCACUGCACUAGCUGCGCUACUGGUGACAGGAACGCGACAGGAAACAGAUAACUCCCCUUGCUGGCUACCGUAUAGGAAAAGAAACUAAAAAAAUUGUGCCGAGAGGGGGGUUCGAACCCUGGAUCUCCCAUCAGGCGCACGCAUAUGACAGAGAGGUACUACCAUCAGGCUACGAACUGGAGUCUGGCUAAGACUAGCAAGUAAAGCAGAACUACACACGCCUCACGAGAAGCAUCCCGCCGGCGGCCGGACCCGAGGACGCUGGCGGCGCCACUCCCGGCCACCACCGGCGGGGAAAACCAACGGCGGGGCCCGCGGGACUCUCGGGGGACCCAUUUUUGCCCUAAGCACGGGAGAAGGAGCACCCUUGGCUGCCUUGAACUGCAGCGGCGUUCCUGCUACGCUGUAGUUCGCCUGGGAGCACGGGACAGAGAGCUUGACGGGCAGCCCUGCCUGCGUCGCUACGCUGCACGGCCGGCGUGGAGCUCGUGCAUUCGGCGCUGAGGGACGCGAGGAGAAGACCCGCACCUUCUGGGUGCCCACCUACGCGGGGAGGAAACCCUGUGCAAACUGCAAGCUCUUCUCUGAUGAUAUACGCCUACCGAGACCUAGGUGACACGACCCCAGCUGCCGGCGGCGAGGAGAGUUCCUCUGAACAUGGCGCUGCUGCAGAGAGGGGGAGGAAGCCCUCCUCUGCACGGUACCUCCAUAACAAACCUACCCCACCCUGCACCACUCGCGACUACUGCACCCCCACACACCGCUAUCGGACAGAGAAAUGCACACACGCUGGAACGAGCCGGACCGCGGAGGCGGAAGGGAGGAGGACGAGGACGCGGCCUCACCUUGAGGAGAAGAGGGGCGUCGAACGGGGAGGAGGAGCGUCGGAGAGGAAGAAGACGGCCAGACGAAGUCGUCCCGCCGAAGACCGAAGAAGGAGACGGACGCGGAUCGCCCGGUUCGUCCCGUUGACGAGGACGAGCUCGAUGGGGGGGGCCGCUCCUCGGGGUCCUAGCGCCGGGAAUGGGACGCGGGGACUCACCCCGAGCCCCCGGACAUGGCGCCCAGUGCCGGAGACGACGGAUCGGCGGCUUGACGGGGGAGGCGCUGCACCCUCUCUCUCUGCUCUCUCUCAGGACUUACCAGGGAAGAACGAGGGCACUAGGGAAACUGGCGGCGCUGGGGAGGAAAGGAGAGGGAACCCUAGGGCGGAGGAGGAGGUCUCGGGCUCCUUUUAACGCCUCGGGAGGCGAGCUUGAGCCGCUGGAUCGAGAAGAGGGCGAUCGGGAGGUUGAGCGCGCGUCGUACAGGAGGUGACGUCGGGAGGAAGAAGGAGCGCUCGCCGGUGGGCUCUAUUAUCGCCAGGGUGGAGUCUAACUGGGCCAGCACGGGAGAAGGCUCAAUGGGCCAGGGAAAGAAUAGCUACACAGGAAGUUUAACCAAAUAUAACAACAGAGGAAGGAAUGCUUUCAGGGAAGAAAAAAAAUAUUACCCAAGAAAAAUACUGGGAUAAAAAUUAAAAGGAAAAUCCUGCUAGACAAAAAAAAUAAUAGCCCAAUAGGGAAAAAUAGGAAUGCAAUAUUUGGAGAUGUUCGAAAUAAAUGCAAAACAGUAAUUAACCUACUGUUUUGUAUUUAUUUGCACCACCAAAAUCAAAGAAUCAAAUCAGAAAAAUUGCACCCCUUCAUAAGCAAUUUUUAUCUACCCACUAGACAUUUUAGAAACAUCUUUGAGAAAAAGGAAUUUUGACAAGAAUAAAAAUAGGAGGGGAAAAGGAGUUUGAAAGCAAGAGCUUAAAAGACUAGCACUCCUCUUGCAUCACACACCAUUAUCACAUGCUCACAAGGUAGUGCAAAACCACCACUUAAUCUUAGCAAGAUCACAUGCUCUCACAACACCACAACACUACUCCUAUCAAACCCAAAUGCAACAUGAUCAUGGCAUGCAAUCAUAAGUAUGGCAAGGAAUGAUAUGUAAUUCAUGCAUGCGAGGGAAGUAAGCACUAGGGAACACACAUGAAUUCAUGGCACAAAAUGAUAUCACCAAGAUCUCUGACAAGGUGGCCCCACAUGGAAGGUUACAAGAAAGGAAAGUCUACACUUGGGGCAUUACAUCAGCCCCUUGCGAAGCAAUGCAUAAACUAGGGUUUAAGCUUCUGUCACUCUAGCAACCCAUCAUCUACUUAUUACUUCCCAAUGCCUUCCUCUAGGCCCAAAUAAUGGUGAAGUGUCAUGUAGUCGACGUUCACAAAACACCACUAGAGGAAAGACAACAUACAACGCAUCAAAAUAUCGAACGCAUACCAAAUUCACAUGACUACUUAUAGCAAGACUUAUCACAUGUCCUCAGGAAGAAACGUAACUACUCACAAAGCAUAAUUAUGUUAAGGAUCAGAUAGGUAUUGAAUAGCAUUAAGGAUCUGAACAUAUGAUCUUCCAUCGAGUAAUCCAACUAGCACCAACUACAAGGAGUAAUUAACACUACUAGCAACCUUACAAGUACCAAUCGGAGUUGCGAGACGGAGAUUGAGUACAAGAGAUGAACUAGGGUUUGAAAAUGAGAUGGUGCUGAUGAAGAUGUUGAUGGAGAGGAGUCCCCUCCAAUGAGAGGAGUGUUGGUGAUGACGAUGGCGACGAUUUCCCCCUCAGGGAGGGAAGUUUCCCCGGCAGGACGGCCCUGCCGGAGCUCUAGAUUGGUUCUGCUCAAGUUCCGCCUCGUGGCGGUGGCGUCUCUUCCCGAAAGCCCUCUCCUGAUUUUUUCUGGGUAGAAACCCUCUAUAUAGCACAAGAUGGGAGCCGAAGGGGUAACAGGGGGCCCACGAGCCAGCCAGGCGCACCUAGGGGGGUAGGGCGCGCCUGGCAGGCUUGUGGCCUCCUGGCGGCUCCCCUCCAGUAUUUCUUCUGCCCAGUAUUUUUUAUAUAUUCGAAAACAAUUCCUCGCCGAUUUUCAUGGAUUUUCGAGUUGUGCAUAAUAGGUAUCUCAAACUUGCUCAUUUUCCUGCCCAGAAUUCCAGCUGCCGGCAUUCUCCCUCUUCAUGUAACCUUAUAAAAUAAGAGAGAAAAGGCAUAAGUAUUGUACCAUAAUGUGUAGUGACAACCCAUAAUAUGAUAAAUAUCAAUAUAAAAGCAUGAUGCAAAAUGGACGUAUCAACUCCCCCAAGCUUAGACCUCGCUUGUCCUCAAGCGGAAGCCGAGAUCAAUAAAUAUGCCCACAUGUUUAGAGAUAGAGGUGUCGAUAAAAUAAAAUACGUACAUGCAGGCAUCAUGAUCAUAUUUAGAACAUCAAUAUUGUCAUAUAAUCUCUGAUGCUAAAGUGACAAUUCCUUCACAAUGUAAAGUACGGAUCAAGAACCUUAUUGAGAAUUAACGACCAAUAGUCUUUAGUCAUUGAAGCAAUUGCAAUUUAUCAUAACAUCGGAAAGAGUCAAAUAAGAGCUUGUAAAGCAAAUCCACAUACUCAAUCAUCUUUUAAUCUUCUACAAUUGCUAAAACUCACGCGAUACUCAUGAGAUCAAAGUUUCAGUUGGACACAGAGAAAGAUAGGGGCUUAUAGUUUUGCCUCCCAACUAUUUACCUCAAGGAUAAUGUCAACUAUAAUAAUUCAUGAUUACUUACUUCCAAGUUGAUGUAUGAAUAUAGAUCUUUCCCUAACACAUGACGCUAGCCAAGAUAAUGGCGAAAUAAGGAAUUGGUGUCGAUCACCAUGACUCUUUUAAAGAUAAAAAGUAAAGGUACAAGAUAGGCCCUUCGCAGAGGGAAGCAGAGGUUGUCAUGCGCUUUUGAGGUUUGGAUGUGUGAUCUCUUAGUGUGAAGGAACGCCACUUUAUAUUGCCUCGUGUGAUAAAGAACUUUAUUAUGCAGUCUGUCGCUUUUAUGUCUUCCUUAUCGCAGGUUCGUACAAAGCUUAUUUUCCACACACUAAUAGAUCAUGCAUAUUUAGGGAGCAAAUUUUUAUUGCUUGCACCGAUGACAUCUUACUUGAGGGAUCUUAUUCAAUCCAUAGGUAGGUAUGGUGGACUCUCAUGGAAAAACUGAGUUGAGGGUUUAUGGAUGCACAAGUAGUAUCUCUACUUAGUGCGGAAGUUUUGGCUGAUAUGAGGUGGAAUCAAGCGUCACAUGCUAAGGGAUCUCUAGUCAAAUAACAUUGUUCGGAACCAAGCAAACAUAAUUCAUUAUCUUGUCUUCCUUGUCCAACAUCUACUUCUUAGUAUGUAAUAGUUUAGUGAGUGUUCACAAUCAUAGACGGUGUCAAAGAUGAUAUAUUUACAUGUGAACCUCUCUUUCUUUAUUACUUCCUAUUAAUUGCAACAAUGACCAAGGUCUACAUUUGUCCACCUACAACAAGUUUCAAUCAACAUUCUUUUUAUAUGUGAAGCCAUCACUUCCCAUAAGAUCAUUACAAGAUCUUUCAUGCUUUUGUUAUUUUAUUAUUCUUUUCUUUAGAUCAUGGCAUGAAGCAAGGCCCUUAACUAAAACACUCCUUAUUAUAUAACUCACGAACUCGAUUACAUUGGGGGUAACACAAAGCAAAACUCAAGCCUAGAUCAUACUAAGAACUUUAUUCUACUAGAAAAAGAUAUUACCAAAAAGGAUCGAACUAAGAAAAAGUUAAAGGCAAAAGAUGUGAUGGUGAUACGAACCGGGGCAACUCCCCCAAGCUUGGCACAAGCCAAGGGGAGUGCCCAUACCCGUGUUUAAUUUUCUUCCUUCGAGGGUGAUGGUGUUGGAGUUGUUGCAGAGUUCUUAAGCUUGUUUAGUUUCCUCUUGAGCACAAAAUUCUGCUCCUUCAGAUCGUUAAUUUCCUCUUCAAGCCUCAACACCCUUUGGCAUAAUUCUUGCUUACUCUCCUGCAAAAGACGAGAAUGGGUAAACAAAAUCUUAGGCUUCUUCCUUGAGUCAGGGAGGCUCGACUUCUUGAACUCCACAUGUAUGUCUCCAGGUUGGGGUAGAGGAGCCUCCUCUUCAUCGGAACUUGUUCCUUCCUUCCCCUUGGGAUCAUAAUCUUCUUCCUCAUCAGUGGUCCAACCAUAAGGGUCCAAGUCCCCAUAGACCUUGGGGUUAGCAAGGUAAUCGACCACAUAGCUCUCCCCCUCUGAAUCUUGAGAAGACAUCUUGAUUUAAAUCUGCUGCAAAAACAGGCUCGAAACGAAAACAGAGGAUAUUUGCGUGAUAUGAGGGUCAGAACUUUUAGGAGAUUAUAUAAUGAUUUUUUACCGACCAAAAGGAGUAUUCCACAAGAAAACGGAGUCCGGGAGGCACACGAGGUGCUCAUGAGUCCCUGAGGCGCGCCCAGGGGGGUGGGGCGCGCCUGGCAGGCUUGUCACCUCCUCGUGCGCUUUCCGGACUACUUCAAAUUUUUCUAUUUUUCUAAAAAUUCCAAAACGGAGAAAAACUGCUAUUGGAAAAGUUUUGGAGUCGGUUUACUUACCGAAUCACAUACCUCUUCGUUUUCGGUGUCUGAAACAAGUGGGUAAAUAUCCCUUAUGUACUCCUCCGGAGUUAUGGUAUUAAUAAUAUUGCUUUCAACAUUUAUGGGAGUACCUGCGAUAUAAUGCUUGAUUCUUUGACCAUUUACAACUCUCGGGAAAUUUCCUUCCACGUUGUUGAUUUUUAUGGCACCGGAACGAUAUACUUCCUCAACAAUGUAAGGACCUUCCCAUUUAGAGAGAAGCUUGCCUGCAAAAAAUCUUAAACGAGAAUUGUAUAGCAAGACAUGAUCACCUACAUUGAACUCACGUUUUUGUAUCCUUUUAUCAUGCCACCUGUUAACUUUUUAUUUAAACAACUUGGCAUUUUCAUAUGCCUGAGUUCUCCAUUCAUCAAGUGAGCUAAUAUCAAAUAACCUCUUCUCACUAGCAAGUUUGAAAUCAAAGUUGAGCUCUUUGAUUGCCCAAUAAGCCUGAUGCUCUAGCCCAAGAGGUAAAUGACAUGCUUUACCACAAAACAUUUUAUACGGAGACAUGCCCAUAGAAUUCUUAUAAGUAGUUCUAUAAGCCCACAGUGCAUCAUCAAGCUUCUUAGACCAAUUCUUUCUAGACCUAUUGAUAGUCUUUUGCAGAAUUAGUUUAAUUUCUCUAUUACUUACCUCUACUUGACCACUGGACUGAGGAUGAUAAGGAGAUGCAAUUCUAUGGUUGACAUCAUACUUACCAAGCGUUUUACGGAAAGCACCAUGAAUAAAAUGUGAACCACCAUCAGUCAUUAAAUAUCUAGGGACUCAAAAUCUAUGGAAAAUAACUUCUUUAAGCAUCUUAAUAGAGGUGUUAUGAUCAACACUACUAGCUGGGAUAGCUUGUACCCACUUAGUAACGUAAUCAACAACAACUAGAAUAUGAGUAUACCCGUUAGACUUUGGAAAAGGUCCCAUAUAAUCAAAACCCCAAACAUCAAAUGGUUCAAUGACAAGUGAAUAAUUCACAGGCAUUUCCUGACGUUUACUGAUAUUACCUAUUCUUUGACAUUCAUCACAAGACAAGACAAACUCACGAGCAUCCUUGAAGAGAGUAGGCCAAUAAAAACCGGAUUGCAAUACCUUGUGUGCAGUUCUAUCUCCCGCAUGGUAUCCUACGUAAGCCUCGGAGUGACACUUUUGUAGGAUCUGUCCCUGUUCAUGCUCAGGUACACAACGUCUAAUAACACCAUCUACUCCUUCUUUAUAAAGGUGAGGAUCAUCCCAAAAGUAAUGUCUCAGACCAUAAAAGAACUUUUUCUUUUGUUGGUAUGUGAAACUAGGUGGUAUAUAUUUAGCAACAAUAUAAUUGGCAUAAUCUGCAUACCAAGGUGUACUACGUGAAGCAUUGAUGACAUUCAAUUGUUCAUCAGGAAAGAUAUCAUCAAUAGGUUGUGGGUCAUCAAGAACAUUCUCCAAGCUAGACAAGUUAUCUGCUACGGGGUUCUCAUCACCCUUCCUAGCAACAACAUGCAAAUGAAAUUCUUUUAGCAAGAGAACCCAUCUAAUAAGUCUAGGUUUAGCAUCUUUCUUUUCCAUGAUAUAUUUAAUAGCAGCAUGAUCAGUGUGAAUAGUAACUUUGGAAUCAACUAUAUAAGAUCUGAACUUAUCACAUGCAAACACAACUGCUAAAAAUUCUUUUUCAGUAGUAGCAUAGUUUCUUUGGGCACUGUCUAGAGUUUUACUAGCAUAAUUAAUAACAUUUUAUUUCUUAUCAACUCUUUCUCUUAGAACAGCACCAACAACAUAAUCACUUGCAUCACACAUAAUUUCAAAAGGUAGGUUCCAAUCAGUUGGUUGAACAAUAGGUGCAAUUAUCAAGGCCUUCUUAAGUAUUUCAAAUGCUUCUUCACAAUCAUCAUAAAAAACAAAUGGAAUAUCUUUUUGCAAGAGAUUGGUGAGAGGCCUAGAAAUCUUAGAGAAGUCUUUAAUGAACCUUCUAUAGAAACCAACAUGAUCAAGGAAACUUCUUAUACCUUUAAUGUCUGUAGGGCAUGGCAUUUUCUCGAUCGCAUCAACUUUAGCCUUAUCAACUCCAAUACAUCUUUUAGAAAUUUUAUGUCCUAAGACGAUGCCUUCAUUAAUCAUAAAGUGGCACUUCUCCCAAUUUAAGACAAGAUUAGUAUCUUUACAUAUCUGCAAAACUCGAUCAAGGUUGCUCAAGCAAUCAUCAAAAGAAGAUCCGUAAACGGAGAAAUCAUCCAUGAAAACCUCAACAAUCUUUUCACAAAAGUCAGAGAAUAUAGCCAUCAUACAUCUUUGAAAGGUAGCAGGUGCAUUGCAUAAACCAAAAGGCAUAUGUUUAUAAGCAAAGGUACCGAAAGGGCAAGUAAAAGUGGUUUACUUCUGAUCAGAUUGUGCAACUGGUAUUUGGGAGAAACCAGAAUAACCAUCUAGAAAGCAAAAGUGUGUGUGUUUAGACAAUCUUUCUAGCAUUUGGUCAAUAAAAGGCAAAGGGUAAUGAUCUUUCCUAGUAGCUUUAUUUAAUUUCCUAAAAUAAAUUACCAUCCUAUAGCCAGUAACAAUUCUCUGUGGGAUCAAUUCAUCUUUAUCAUUAGGGACAACGGUAAUACCUCCCUUCUUAGGGACACAAUGCACCGGACUUACCCAAUCACUAUGAGCAACAGGAUAGAUAAUACCUGCUUCCAGGAGCUUUAGUAUUUCUUUUCUUACCACCUCUUUCAUCUUAGGAUUUAAUCUUCGUUGAUGAUCAGCAACUGGUUUGGAAUCAGGAUCAGUUUUAAUUUUAUGCUGGCAUAGAGUGGGACUAAUGCCCUUAAGAUCAUCAAGAGUAUAUCCAAUAGCAACACGGUGCUUCCUGAGAGUUUUCAAUAAUUUCUUUUCUUCAUGCUCUGAAAGGUUAACACUAAUAAUAACAUGAUAUAUCUCUUUUUCAUCAAGAUAAGCAUACUUAAGAGUAUCAGGUAAUUGUUUUAGCUCAAACACAGGAUCACCCUUUGGUGGAGGUGGAUCUGCAAGUAAUUCAAUAGGCAAAUUAUUCUUAAGGAUAGGAUGUUGUUCAAAGAUAACUCCAUAUAUCUCAUUCCUUUCAUCCAUAUGCAUAUCAUUUUCAUGUUCAAGCAAGUAUUGCUCCAAAGGAUCAGUAGGAGGCACAACAAUAGAAGCUAGAGCAAUAAUUUCAUCCUUACUAGACAAUUCUUUUUCAUGAGGUUGUCUACCAAACUUGGAAAAAUUAAAUUCAUGUGACACACCUUCAAAGCCAACAGUAACAGUUUGUUUCUCACAAUCAAUCUGAGCAUUAACAGUAUUGAGGAAAGGUCUACCAAAUAUGAUUGGACAAAAGCUAUCUUGUGUGGUAGCAAGAACGAGAAAAUCUGUAGGAUACUUAGUUUUACCACACAAGACUUCAACAUCUCUAACAAUUCCCACAGGGCAGAUAGUAUCUCUAUUAGCAAGUUGAAUAGUAACAUCAAUAAAUUCCAUCUCGACAGGUGCAAUCUCAUCUUUAAUUUCAUUAUAUAAAGAUCGAGGUAUUGCACUACCACUAGCAGCCAUGUCACGUAAACCAUGAUAACAAUGAUCUCCUAUCUUAACAGAAACAACAAACAUGCCAACAACAUGCUUAUGUUUGUCUCUAGCAUGAGGUUUAGCAAUUCUAGCAGCAUUUUCACAGAAGUGAAUAACAUGCCCAUCAACAUUAUCGGCCAAGAGAUCUUUAAUAAUGGCAAUGCUAGGUUCAACUUUAAUUUGCUCACGGGGUGUAGGUGUUCUAAUGUAGCCCUUACGUAUCACAGUUGAAGCUUUAGCAUGAUCCUUUAUUCUAACAAGGAAAGGUGGUUUCUGAAUGUAAGCACUAGGAACAAUAGAAUCAUUAUAAGCAAUGACUUUCUCUUCAACUGGAUUGGGUUUUACUACAUUGACUUCUAUGGGAGGAUGAUAUUUAAACCACUUCUCCUUAGGGAGAUUAAUAUGAGCAGCAAAUGAUUCACAUAAUGAAGCUACUAUCUCAGAGUCAAGUCCAUGUUUAGCGCUAAAAUCAAGAAAACUAUUUGUCUCAGCGAAGGAUUUAACGCAAUCGAACUUAAGAUUCAUACCUGACUCCUUAUCUUCAUCAAACUCCCAAUCUUCAGAGUUGCAUUUAAUUCUUUCCAAUAAAUCCCAUUUGAAGUCAAUAUCUCUCUUCAUAAAGGAACCGGUACAAGAAGUGUCAAGUAUGCAUCAUGAAAAAGUCGAGCAUAAAAGUUUUGAAUAAUAAUUUCUGUCGAGAGCUCAUGGUUGGGGCAUGAAUAUAACAUUGGCUUAAGCCUCCCCCAAGCUUGAGCGAUACUUUCUCUAUCACGAGGCCAAAUAUUAUAUAUAUAAUUCCGAUCACGAUGUACCAAAUGCAUAGGAUAAAACUUUUGAUGAAAUUCCAAUUUCAAUCGGUUGUAGUUCCAUGGUCCAGUAUCAUCACAUAGCCUAUACCAUGCCAAUGCUUUAUCCCUCAAAGAUAAGGGAAAGACCUUCUUAUUGACCUCAUCCUCGGGCAAACCUUGAAGCUUAAAUAAACCACAAACUUCAUCUACAUAGAUUAGAUGCAAGUCGGGAUGUGAUGUUCCAUCUCCUGUAAAAGGAUUAGCCAACAGUUUAUCUAGCAUACCCGAAGGAAUUUCAUAAUAAAUAUUUUCAGUAGGUGCAGUAGGUUGAGGGGCAAAUCUUUGUGCUUCCGUUCGAGGUGAAGAUGCCCCAAACAAGCUCCUCAAAGGAUUAGUUUCCAUGGUGACAAGUGACAAUAAAUUUCAGCACACUAUAUAAAUGUUUCCUUACCAAAGGCGCUUCACUCCCCGGCAACAGCCCCAGAAAAGAGUCUUGAUGACCCACAAGUGUAGGGGAUCUAUCGUAGUCCUUUCGAUAAGUAAGAGUGUCGAACCCAACGAGGAGCAGAAGGAAAUGACAAGUGGUUUUCAGCAAGGUAUUCUCUGCAGGCACUGAAAUUAUCGGUAACAGAUAGUUGUGUGAUAAGAUAAUUCGUAACGGGUAGCAAGUAACAAUAGUAACAAAGGUGCAGCAAGAUGGCCCAAUCCCUUUUGUAGCAAGGGACAAGCCUGGACGAACUCUUAUGUAAGGUAAAGCGCUCCCGAGGACACAUGGGAAUUUCUGUCAAGCUAGUUUUCAUCAUGUUCAUAUGAUCCACGUUCGCUACUUUGAUAGUUUGAUAUGUGGGUGGAACGGUGCUUGGUGCUGUACUUACUUGGACAAAAAUCCCACUUAUGAUUAACCCCUCUCGCAAUCAUCCGCAACUACGAAAGAAGAAUUAAGACUAAGUCUAACCAUAGCUUUAAACUGGUGGAUCCAAACCAGCCCCUUGCGAAGCAACGCAUAAACUAGGGUUUAAGCUUCUGUCACUCUAGCAACCCAUCAUCUACUUAUUACUUCCCAGUGCCUUCCUCUAGGCCCAAAUAAUGGUGAAGUGUCAUGUAGUCUACAUUCACAUAACACCACUAGAGGAAAGACAACAUACAACGCAUCAAAAUAUCGAACGAAUACCAAAUUCACAUAACUACUUAUAGCAAGACUUAUCCCAUGUCCUGAGGAACAAACGUAACUACUCACAAAGCAUACUUAUGUUCAUGAUCAGAGACAUAUUGAAUAACAUUAAGGAUCUGAACAUAUGAUCUACAUAUGAUCUUCCAUCAAGUAAUCCAACUAGCAUCAACUACAAGGAGUAAUUAACACUACUAGCAACCGUACAAGUACCAAUCGGAGUCACGAGAUGGAGAUUGGGUACAAGAGAUGAACUAGGGUUUGGAUAUUAGAUGGUGCUGAUGAAGAUGUUGAUGGAGAGGAGUCCCCUUCGAUGAGAGGAUUGUUGGUGAUGACGAUGGCGACAAUUUCCCCCUCCAGAAAGGAAGUUUCCCCGACAGGACGGCCCUGCCGGAGCUCUAGAUUGGUUCUGCUCAAGUUCCGCCUCGUGGCGGCGGCGUCUCUUCCCGAAUGCCCUCUCCUGAUUUUUUCUGGGACGAAAUCCUCUAUAUAGCAGAAGAUGGGAGCUGGGGGGUAACAGGGGCCCCACGAGCCAGCCAGGCGCGCCCAGGGGGGUAGGGCGCUCCUGGCAGGCUUGUGGCCUCGUGGCGGCUCCCCUCCAGUAUUUCUUCCGCCCAGUAUUUUUUAUAUAUUCCAAAAUAAUUCCUCGCUGAUUUUCACGGCUUUUGGAGUUGUGCAGAAUAGGUAUCUCAAACUUGCUCCUUUUCCAACCUAGAAUUCCAACAGCCGACAUUCUCCCUCUUCAUGUAAACCUUAUAAAAUAAGAGAGAAAAGACAUAACUAUUGUACCAUAAUGUGUAGUGACAACCCAUAAUGCGAUAAAUAUCAAUAUAAAAGCAUGAUGCAAAAUGGACGUAACAGUGGCCCGCGUAAGCACCUUCUGUAUAAAGAGGUGUCAAGACUAACACCGGUCGUCCUCGCAACGCACAUGAUUGCAAAGGGCGAUUGGCCCAUGACCCCUUCACAUUUAGGAUGUAGACCGGUGUGUGGCCUCUCUGUUGAGCCUAGGUAGGACUUUGGCGUGUCGAUCAGUCGAGGCUGGGCAUGACCCAAGUAAGUGUGCCCGGCCGGAGUUAAUCGAGCGUGUUGGGUAAUAUGGUGCACCCGUGCAGGGAAGUAUAUCUAAUUGAAUAGUCGUGUCCACGGUAAUGGAUGCUAAGAGAAUAUCCUGAUCUACUACAACUAGAACUAGGUACUUGUGAUAUUAAAUUGAAAUGUUGGCUUUGGGAUCGCUUUCUUGUAGGGAGUCGAGGAAGGAUCUCUGGGCCUUGCUAUUGCAUGCUUGUAUAUGAUUUACUACUGUGAACUCUUCUAAUGCUGCAAGACACUGAAGAUGUUAGUCUUCGAUACGACUAGGUCUUUCCACUCUCUUCUGGAUUUUCUGCAGUUCAGUCUAAAGAUAUAUCCCCAUUCCUUUGACACUGAUGCAUAUUUAGUUUAGAUUUGAUGUAAGUCUUGCGAGUACUUCGGAUGAGUAUCACCGUUGAUUUGCUUCCCUUUUCCCAUUUGGUACGACUGUUGUGAUCAAAUGACGAAGCCCAGGAGCCAUCUGAUCCCGUCGACGACUACUACUACCCCGACGGAGAUUACUACUAUGUGGAGGCUAUUGAGUAGUUAGGGGGCUCCCAGGAAGGAGGCCUUGCCUUUUCGAUCCGUGUUGAUGAUUGUGUUAGCCUUCUUAAGGCAAACUUGUUUGUUAAAUGUAUGUACUCAAAUAUUGUUGCUUCCGUUGACUCGUUCGUACUCGAGCUUAUGUAUUCAAGCCCUCGUGGCCUCUGGCUUGUAAUAUAAAGCUUGAAUUAUUCUAUUUGUGUUUAGAGUUGUGUUUUGGUAUCUUCCCGUGAGUCCCUGAUCUUGAUUGUACGCAUUUACGUGUAUGAUUAGCAUACGAUUAAGGCGAGGGAGUCACAAAAACAACUCUAAACUACCAUGUGUACAUUGUUCUCUUGCCCGCAUAUAAGUUAGAUGCAUGAGGGAGAUAAUUUUGACCCAUUGUUUGAUUGGUCAAAUAGCACUAGGCACACAUAGGGCACAUUGUUUGGUUGCAACCUGCAUUAGGUGUUGUAACCACUUCUCACUAGUGGCGACCUUACCACACACGAUCAUAACAGUUUCACUACCUAGCUAUGAAACAAAUUAUGG